UCUCUUUUGUGGUAUUUCUGGAUCCUUAACAAGGCAGUGAUGGUAUAUGCCCUCUCUCAAAAUAUAUAGUAUUUGUGGUAUAAAGCAUAGUGACAUUGCCUUCUCUCUCACCCUACUAUAAUAAAGCUUUUGAUAUCUGGAGCUCGUAGGUGGGAGAUAGCUAAUACAUACUUACAAGACAUUUAUUGCAUAGUCAAACCAUGGAUCCAGAGAAACAAGUCAAUAAGUCAAAUCAAGAUGUGCAUGUGUGGCGAAUGAAUGGUGUAUGGUGAUGAUGGUGAUAACAAUGGUGAAAGUCUAAUUCUAUUUUUGCUCUUUUAAGGGGAUACAUACCUUUCUUGCACUUUGAAACUUAUUGGGGAGAAUGAGAUGCUCUAUAUUUUCUUUUUCUUUCCUCUCAGGUGGGUAUCUUGUACCCCUAAUUCUACUAUCGGACACUUGUCCAUUUUUACCUCUCGUCUCACUUUUUCUUUUCUUCAAGGUUCCGGGCACUUGCCCCUUUUUAUUUCCUCGUAUUAUAUAUAUAUAUAUUUUUCUCUCUUCUUUUUUUAGAGCACUCAUCUCCUGAAAGAAUGUAGCAAGUGGUAGUAACCAAAAUAACUGGAGCAUUUAUUUCACAGGGAAUAACAGGGAUAGGAAAAUGUUUUUGGCUAUUCUCUCCCGGAUUAGGAGUAGAAUAAUUUUGGGUGAAUGUGGAGAUGGAAAUGAGUGGAUGUAUGUGGAUGCGUACUUCCAGAGUAGAAGCAGCAUAUACGAGUGAACAUGCAAGUGAAUCUUGAUUUUAACCACAUGACAAGCUCCUCAUAAGCAGUAAAAAGUAAAUGUUUGGCUCAAAGUCUAAUAAGCAUGUAUAUAUGGCUGUGGUAGGAUUUUAAACUCUCAUCAUACAGGAACUCAUCAUGUGAUAUUUUAAAGAUUUUCAAAGAUAAAAUUCUCCAGAAUUCUAGCAUCUCUAGGAAUAGAUAAACAGCAGCUCAACCUUCCCAUAUCAUAUCCGUUAACGACUUAGACUUUAGAUCAAGUACUCUUCCCACAAGUUCAGGUUUAGAGCAGGUUUAAAUAAUAACAGUCAUGCCUAAACUUGAGAGAGAUUUCAAUUUUAAGAACUAGUCAUGGCAGAGCAACUAUUCAUUAUUUCAAUGUGAGAGCUUAUCAUGAGGGUUCAUAGCAAACUUUAUUUAUUUAUUUGUUUAGCAAACUAAGCAAAGAUAUAUAUAAAAGCACAAAAUCUUUAUUUGGGUCUUUUAUGAUUAUGCAUCUUUUUAUUAUUUGAGUAAAGUAUCAACGCGAGUAGAAACACUUAGCUGGAAAAAUGGGGGUGCUCUCCCCCAAGCUGGAUUUUGACGUAAUUUCUUCUGAUGUAGCAAGCAGGUGGUGGAGGUGUAUUCGAAAGUCGGCAGCACCCUGACAGCGAUUAGGAUGUCCUCCGUCUGCUAGUCUUCUUUGAUCCUUGAAUUCUGUGGAGCUCAAAUAGACAACAAAGCUUUGUGGAACUAGUUUUAGCAUAAAAUCUCUUUGCCUUUAUCAUGUUGAGCCUCCUUAAUAAAUGUUAUUUAUUUAGCAGGAUUAUGCACUUAUUAUUUUUAUAUUUUUAUUGUAAGAUGAAAACUUAUUUAUUUUAUUUUUAUGCUACCACAGUGAAUGUACUUAUGGGUUUUAUGCCAUGAGCAUACUCACAUGGGGCUUACUAUUUUUUUAACAUUUUUAUUUUCUUUUGAAGAUAGCAUGAACCUGAUUAACUAAGCAAACUAUUGAAUGGAAAAGGAUAACUACCAAGUUUACCUCUUGGCAAGGCGUUCGGUAUUUUUAAGUCCUCCGAAUGGGGCUCUCCGUUUUCUCAGUCGUCCUGGGAUUCGCUGGAUGGCGUAGUCGGUGGUUCCGGCGGCGCCUCCUCUUCGUGUAUAACUAUCUUCUCUUUCCACACCUGACUCGGUGCUACGGUCUCCUCGGGACAAUUCUGUUCAAGCUGUAUGUCUUCAGACCUUACUACUUCUCCUUCGUAGUCUGCCCAUCCGUCCUUGAUGAUUUGCCUCCUCUGGUUGUGGUUGCGUUGUCUUCUUCUUGUCCUGGCCUGCUUAGAGUCUUCAACUAUAUAGUUAGGGUCAGUAAAAUAGCGGUGUACCUUCUCAGAGGGGAAGUGCAUGUGGACUUCUCCGGUUCCAAUGUAGAUGAUAACUUUGAUAGUGUUGAGGAAUGGUCUUCCAAGGAUGAUGGGUGGAUCGUACUCGUCUUCUCCCAUGUCAUUGAUCUGAAAGUCAUCUGGAGCUGAAUAUAUAUUGGUUGUAGGGGCAUGGUUCCAUGCAGGAGCUGAUAAGUGACUGCGGCCAUUAUGUUGACGUUAGAUCCGGUGUCGUAGAGUGUCUUCUAAAAAGACUAUCUGUUGAUUGUGCACUUAAUGCUUGGAACACCAGGGUCGUCCUUCUUGAUCAAGAAAGGUGACUUGAGUCGACGAUCUUGACCUCCUCCGACAAGGAUCCAAAGUUUUAAAUCUUUUGGACAAGACUUCUCACUGUCUUCAUCCUUUAGGUGCAUCAUUUGAUUAGGUGUGGACCUUGACGUCUGCACUUCUUGAUAUGGUGUCACCUAUAUUCUUUGAUUGCCCAGCAGUUCGAAGUGCGGUGUUGGCAAUAUCCUGCUCAGUGUGUUUGUGCUCAUAGAUCCAGGUCCUUCACUUGGUGGAAUCUGGGAGUUGUAAAACUCCUCCAUGUUUUGCUUGAAGUGUACCUGCUCAUAAAGACAAGGCAGAGAUCAAGUGCAUGGGCCCUGUUGGUGGAAGACACCAACAGAACCAAAAGUGUAUUUGUUCUUCUCUAACCUUAAGCAUAGCGAGCAAGAAAAAGUUGAUGGAUCUUGAGUGUAGCAUUUGUCAGAUCAGAUGGCUCAACCUAAUGGAAAGAUAAUCUAUCUAUAUUUAUGUUUUGUUUAUAUCUUCCAAAGAUUGAAUGUGCAAUACUUUAGCUUAUAUGAUUAGGAGUGUGGGAUCACGAAGUUAGUACUAAGAACAAAGAUUAAAGGACUAAACAUGUUGAAUUAAUUGAGUUGGUUAAUUUGGAGUUACAGAUCAUACAUGUUUGUCUCUUUAUUUUGUGUGAAUGCCAGAACCAAGGAGAAGUUUAUAAAAGUGAUAGUCAAGUACCUUAAGGUGUUACCUUACUUGAAGAGUGAUGGUAUAAUAUCACCUUGUGGAAGCUUUCCUUUCUUAGCGGUUGUGCAUUGUGUUUGUGGCACCCUCCAUGAAUCAUCUCUUAUGAGCUACGUCUUUCUUGUGCAAAUUGUUAUACUUCAUGUGUCACUUUCUUCAUCUCCAAUGUGAGUUUAUCUCAGAACUUCCCAGGUUGAUAUUGAAAGUUUUCCUGCAGGGGUUAGUCCCACAAAAUAUACCAAUAUCUACUCAAGCAGUUUUUAGUUCAGUAACCAAACCAGACUCCAUGUCUAAUCAGAUUAAGGAAGGCUAUUUAACCUAAGCACCAUGCUUAAUUUAAAUGUCAAUGGAAGUAUGUCGAGUACUUCCAAACCAACACUUGCUAGUAAAUAGAUAAAGGUAGCAUGACAGCAUUUAUGAGAUCUACUCAAGUGGAGAUGAAGUAGUGUGAUUAGUAUUUAACAAAUUGAGCAUGUCUCAAAGGUAGGGAUAACCAACAUAGCAACAUGGCAAAGGUUGUUUUUAUGUAAAGUACUCCCCCAAGCUUGAAUUUUGCGAAAUUCAAGUUUGGAUGAAUUUAAUUCAAUGUUGUAUGAUGGUUGGUUGGACAUACCUUGUGCUUGUCAUUCAUCCGAUCUUCUUGCUCCAAUCCUAGAAAGGUUAGUGGCAAGAAUACCCGAAGGAAUAUUUCUACAAUUAUCUCAAUAUGCUCAAUACACGAGGAAAUGUUGCAAAUUCAUGUUUCGAUCUGAUAAGUGCUUGUUUAAGGAUGUUAAGCUUAUCCUUAGGAAACCAGCAAAUUAUGUCGGCGAAGUGGUUUCCCCUCUAACGCUGACCUAUAUCAAGAUCAACUCAACGAGAUCUGCAAUAUUUAUUAUAGACAUAUGCAUCGACAACUGCCCUUUUAAAGUUUUUAUAAAUAGAAAAGAAGAGGGGGUUGGAGAUCUCAAAUGUGGUGAUGUUGGAGAGACCAAUUGAUUGGGGAGAUGUUUUAUAUGAGCAAGGACAUGGUGAGGUAUUUAUGAAAUAACUUCCAUGCUCAAUGUUGUUUCUCUCAUUCUCAAACUCCAAGGAUGAUUCUUCAUGAAUGCUUAAAAUUCCUCUAGGAUUGUCUCUCAAGUUUGUUUUAUCUAUCCAUUCAAUGGUGAUAGCACAUGGAUUUUUAAUGCCCUCUAGCCAUCGAAGUUGCUCUUCUCGAUCCUCCUUGUGGUCUUGGUGACUCUUAUGCAUGGGAUGUCUAGAGAGAUUCAUAGGAUUAUCGGGAGGUUCAAGAGAAAGAGCAUAGUAGAAAUUAUUAAGCUCAAGGAUGGGUUGGAUAGCCGAAUUAUGGGAUUGAAAUGUUUGGAAAUCGGCUAUGGAAACUUCCUUUCCUCGUCUGGGAGAUGAUUCCUUCUCUAUCUCUAAGAUUUUUCUAUGAAGACUAGUAUAAGAAGGAUGUCCACGAAUGAAGACAUACCUUCCUUUACUAAUAGAUAAAGAAAGAAAGACUCUACCAAUGGUUAUAUAAUUAAGACCAAUGUAAAAAUAUCUAGGAAAAACAUGGUGUUGUAGGGCUAGGUUUAAACCAGAAUUUAUAGAAAGAUUAAAAGAUUCCUUAGGUGUAGCUAAAAGUUCAUUAUCUUCUUGAUUAAAAGAUAGGACGUCGGCUAUAGAAAAGGGUUGGUUUUGACCUAUUGCAAACAACUUCGGGCACAGAUCAUAAUUAGGGGCAGGACUUGUUGACUCCCAUGGUCUAUGGCUGGUCUCCGAAGGUACAAAAAAUUCAAUAAUAGGUAUGGAAUUUACGUUAUCCAUAAAGAUAAAAAUAAAAAGAUAAAAGAAUAAAAGUAUAAAAGUAUAAUACAAGAUAGUAGCAAGACUUAAAGUUAUCUCAGCAAACCGUCUUUCUCCCCGGCAACGGCGCCAGAAAUGCUUGUUGAUAUUUGGUAACGCAAUAAGGAAAUGAUCCGCAAGCGCAUGGAUAUCGGUGAGCAUUUCACCCGAGAGGUUAUCCAAAGUAUCGUAUUUAUAUUUUUACCACUGGGAGAAAGGGUGCAUCUGACUAACCAAAUCUAUUGCUACUAUCCCUUUAGGCUACAAAGAAUAUUUCUCGAUGUGAGUGAUGUAUAGAGAAGACUGCAACCGUAGUCUCGUCCUAACCUUGGUAAGGAUGAUCUACUGUUCUAUUGGGGAGGCUCACGGAAUCUAGACAACAUAAGGAUGUUCGACCCGCACCAUAAACCCUACCCGUCCUGCUAACAAGAUAUGGGAUGCAAAGGUAACUCGGAAAUGUCACGUUCCUCGCUACUACCACGGUCUAGCUAGUCAGGGGAUAUCUAUGAGUACCCUAGCCUAAACACCACGUUUACGCUAGCAAUGAUUACUCUAAUACUCAACCGGAAGAAGAUUAAAGUAAACUCAUAAACCAAACAACAAUAAAACAAGAACUUACUAGAAUUAGAAGUCGAAUUACUGAAGAAUCUUAGGAGCAAGCCUUGGGUUAGAAGACUUGAUCCCAUAGGUACAACUCGGAGUAGACACCGACAGGCCGGCCUUCCUCCGAUCUACACCUGCACUCUAUCUCUCUCAAUCUAGUCGAAACUAGAAGAUCUAUUUCUACUUUACAUUGGAUGCUAAGCCUAAAAAGAAAUAUUAUUUAGAGAAGAGGUUUUCCUUCGAGGGCACCCCUCAAUCUCUAUGAUAACUUCUUGUCUUCUCCAGGGGCCAGGGGGUCUUCUUAUAUAGUCCUCCUCCUCUAUGCGUUUUUGGGUCGGUAGGCGAUGUGUUACUACGUUAUCCUUGAUCCUUUAGGUCGGUGGAACAUCGUGUGCGAAGAGAGUCCCGAACGGAGUCUAGGACAGGGCGGGCGCCCAGGGAAAGAGGGCGGGCGCCCUGGGCCUGGCCCCUUUCGGCCUCUGCUUUCUUCCCGUGGCUUCUGGAGUCUUCUAGAUGGUAGAAAAUUACGCGGUGCGUUGAUAUCUCUAUGUAAUCCCGACAUGUGGGCCUUUCUUUUGUAUUUCCUGAUAACCCCCUGCAGAAAUAGACAAACACCAAAACUCGUGGAAUUCUGUCAGAUAAAACCCUAAGUCUAGGUGUUGGUUGCAUUUGGAUCCUUUUCUUUAUUUAUUUGAUGAUUAUAUUUGGUACUUAAGGACCGUCAACAGCAACGACGAACCCGACGAGCGCUCCAGGGAGCCACGGCCAGGCGCUGCGACUCCACCCAGUCCAGGGUACACGGCACCAGACGCUGCGUCCAUGGAGGCGGCGGCUGUCGGAGCGGGUGACUGUCUGCUAACGGAGGACAACCGAUAAUGUGCCUAGAUCAACCGGGUCGGCGAUCUAUCCAGAUGCAUCGGCUGGUGCUUCUUGUGGCUGGGGUACUAAUCGAGGGGGAGAAGGUACUUCCUGCGUUUAGGGCACUGGAUGAACUGGAGAAGGAGGUGUUGCCUAAAUCGGGGAUGCUGGACGAGGUGGAGAGGAUGGUGUUGUCUUCUAUCACUUUGGCUGGGUCUUGGUGCUCUUUGGACCCUUUCUCUUAGGUGGAGCUUGACUGGGCUAGGGGGCAUCGGCAUGUGAUGUUUGAGUGCUCUUGGUCUUUGCCGAUGUACCAGUCUGCUGUUACAAAAAACCAAAGUUUCAUAAGUUAGGUAUAAGAAAAGGUAUUGGUGGAGUUGUGCUAAAAAUAAAAUUUGGUGCAAAACAGAGUUACCGAUGAUGUUGCCGUUGCAGUCAAUGUACCCUAAAAAGAUAUUGUAAGUGUCUGAUGAAAUCAGUAUAAAUGGAGAGAAUUAAGAGUUUACCUUAAAGGCUUGUGCCACAGUGGCAGUAGCUACCGAUGGAGAAACUUUCGACCAUUUGGUGGUCGUCUUUUUGAAACGGAUGUUUCGAUGCAUCAGAGCUGCUAAGCUGGGGGCAUUGUGGCCGAUCAGAGAAACUGGGCCUGAUGGAAGAUGUUCGAUCGGCCGCCCACUUCUACUUACUGUUGAUGCUGGGUCAUCAACCUGUUGAAAUGAAAAAGAGUGAGUUGCCGAUAAAGUUAAAGUUAAUGAAGGGACUGAAGUAUCGGCAAGGGACUUACAACAUCAUUGGGAACUUCAUAGUCGGAGUCAAUCAUACUCCGGUACAUGUGAGCCGAUACCCUGAAUAGAUGCUCCUUCCAUUCUUCCCACCACUGUUUGUAUGACUGAGUGAUGAAGAGAGCUGGAACCCAAGCCGAUAGAUCGAUAUCUGUCGUAAUGACAUCUGGCUGGAGUUGGGCCACUCUGAUCUAUUCAGGCCCGCUGGUUAUUAUCUCUCUCGAUUUUACAACAUUGGCAUAGCAAAGUUUGAUCGGUAGCUAAUCGAAAGCCAGUUGGUGAGCUAGUGCUGAUGGGUUAUAAAGUUGUUUACUGGGAUUGCUCUUAGGGUGAUGAUUGCCAACAUCAGAUCAUUGUCUUUACUAAGAGCAUUAUCAAAGGGGUGGAAAGUGAGUGGAAAUCUGGUCUCUGGAUGAUCAUAGGGCAUCCAUGCUCGCUGAUCUUUGGAAAGGCCGUCAUAUAAAGUUUGAAAGAAUCGGCCGAUCUGGUUCUCAUUGGAACCGGUACCAGGAAGGACUAUAACAACUUCACCAUAAUUAAGGGGUGAGUGUGUUGCCGAUUCAUCAUUUGCCAGUUCAUAAUCUUCGGCGAUGUCUCGUGGGAACUGCUGUGCGAAGAAGUCAAACCGAAGGUGUUUGUGCAUGUGGACGUUGAGCCACAUGUUGAUAAACCACCAAGGGCCUCCUAGAUUGUCGAUGGGUUCGCCUAGCAGGAGUUUCUCGACUACUUGAUGGAGGAGGUGGUAAAUGGAACCCAGCAGAUAUCGCCCAAGGGGGAAUCGGUUACCAUCGGCUAGUCUCUCUGCUGCUGAUAAGUAAACUGAGGUUGGUCCUACCGAUCGGCCGCAGAAGAUGAAUUUGUCUAGCCACAUAUUCAGAAAAAUGGCAUGCUCUCUCUGACCAACCGAUCCCGUUCAUUGAUAUCUCUGAAUGUACCCUGACCAACUACCGAUAUUGCAAGUUUCUACUUUAUGUUCGGCUUUGUGGCCGAAUAACUGACCAUCAUCGGCAGUGGGAACAUCCAAACUAGUCAGCAUAACCACAUCGGCAAGCGUAGGGGAAGCUAGGCCGUGGCCGAAAAUAAAAGCAUUAAAAGUAUUUGAUCAGAAGUAUGAGGCAGCUAUCAACAUUGAUUCAUUUCUUGCCAUAUCGGUAAUGGAGAGUCUAAUGCACUGGUCUAUUUUGCGUUGACCCCAAUAUACUUCGUUUGUUUUGCUUACCCUCAAGAACCAGUAUUUCCAUCCUUUGGUGGGGUUUGGCCAGGAUCGGAAAGUAUCCUUCCAUAGAUCUAAAGAAAAGUUCUCAGCCCUAAAAGGAAUCCUAUUGAUUUCUGCAUUGAUCAAAUCGGUGGGAUCUGGACCACCCAUUGGACCAAGGUAUUGAGGUGGGGUUGUUCAGUAGGAAUGACAAUUUUCUCACUCAACUCCAAAAGUUUGAAUAUUGGAAGGACAAAAGGAAAAGAAAGAAAAAAAUGCUAAGUAAGUAGACUUGCAAAAAAGUAAAGGGUCGCAGUAAUGGAAGAAGAAGAUAAGAAUAGAUUAACCUCAGGGACGGUGAAGUUGAUGGUCAAUUCUUCUGGAGGAAGAGGAAGUCGAAAACUUGAAGAUUUUUGGUGGAGAUUCUGCCGGGGUUCUUGAGUUCUUCGUCAAUGCCGCCGCCAGAAAGAUGAGUUUGGGGAUGUAGGAUGGCAAGGUAGAGAAUGAAUACUGAGGAAGGAUCUAUUUUUAGGUUGAAAGGAGCAGGGGUAUUUUUGACUUAUCUCUUUGCCGUAUCCGUAAAAUUCGAGGGUGUUUAGAUGGAUAUGGUAACUGUUCGCACGAUAAUCAAGGGAUUGUGCAGGUGAUUUGACAGCAAGUAAUCAUGAUUUAGGAGAUAUUUCACUGUGCAGGAUCUUUUGGUCAGCUCAUCGGCAGCUAGGUCUAACAGAACAGUUGCCGAUGAGCAUGUGUUUAGGAUGUUUGGUUUGGAUGGUUGAAAGGUUUGAAGUAUAUGCUGGAGACCAGAAUUGAAGUUGUUUGGAUUUGGCAAUUAAUUAUCAUCAGAAGUAAAUAAUUGUGAAAAGGUCAUCAUUAUCAGGAGAGAAUUUUGGAGCAUUAAUGACUCCAUACUCCAAAAUUGGGGGGCAUGUGUUGACACCAUUUUUGGACACAAAUCAGGGUAGUCAAUAUCAGUAGUCAAAGAGGUGAUAUGUAUGGCCGAUAGAAGGAUUGCCGAUGGUCAACAUUGUCGAUGAUAGGACAACACGAAGAAGAUGUUGCUGAGUCUGGUGGUGGUUGCUGAGCAAUGCCGAUUGCUGAUAUUGAUAAUUGCCGAUGCUGAUGAGGAGGAGUGUGCCGAUAAUUAUGAAAGGGUAUAGGGAAUAUGCCGAUGACGACAAAGGGAGACAUGGGAGUUUUUAAGAAGGCAAUGGUGGUGUGCCGAUUGGAAAGGAUAGAUAGGUUGUUAUUUUCCAUAAUUAUUAGGGUUUGUUUUAUGUACAAUUCCUAUUUGGUUUAAAAUUAAGUCCUAGUCGUAUGCGAUUGUAACUCUUUAGAACAGAGUAUAAAUAUGGGCCUAGUAGCGAUGUAAAGACAAUCAAUCAAUAUCAUACAGAAAGUUUUACAUCUAUUUUCGCAUCUACUUUCAACGACUUCGUCAACUCACAUAUUUUCUUUUACUUACGAGUUCUUGAGAAUUUAUUGAGUCAUACUUGACGAGUUCUCGAGUUCCGCGUGAAUACCUCUUGGCCGUGGCAUCCGGGCGCAUCGCUGUUGUUGGGACCAAAGUAUUCGAGUUACCACCUUUGUCGAUUGUAAGGUCAAAUCGGCUGGCACGCCUCAACGUUUGAAUCGGGUAUUAGCCCUUUUUGUUUGUAGAUUCAGUUUUGCAUUGACAAUCCUCUGUUGGAAUAUCAGGGGCAUAAAUGCUAAGAAUAAAUGGGAAUCUCUUAGAAAUUGUUGACGUGAAAAUUGACCUCUCACGUCAACAAUCUCAGGGGCUCUCAGAGGGAGUGCAGUAGCUGAAGUUCUAGAACUUCUGAGCCACAAACGCAUGAGCUUGAUGAUUUGAUUCCGAGACCAUUGGACCUAAAAUUGACAAGGUAGAGAUGCAAAAGUCAAAUUAUGGAACCUGCCGGUUGUUGCUAGACAGUUCCGAGAUGUGUGGCUUUAAGAAGCCGUUGAUUGAAGAAAAUUAACUAGAAAGUUAACUUCUGAUAAUAAUGCAUUAUGGUAUUUAUUAUUGAAUGUUUAAAUUAUCAUUGAACAGGUUCAUCUAUAGGUAAAGAUAAACAAAUCGGUUGUAAGAGAUAGCUUACGAAUUACUAGUUCAUUUAAUGCUACAAACGGGUUUAUACACGCGCUCUAUUUGUUUGAACUUAAUUGGAUCGACUCUUUAGCCGAUAUAGGGUCCAUGAGGCACGAACACAAUCUAUCUACUAUCUAAUUUAUUAUGACUAAAUUAGUUGUUUUUAGCAAAUUAAUCAUAACAAUAAAUAUCCCGAAUGCAUAACAUGUACCAAACAAGACCGACAGGUUAGCUAUCUUGAAUUUGCCUUAUAAUUAAUGUUUUAUUUAGAGUCUGUGGCAAGUGUCUAGAUUUAAAGCUCAAGAUAAUCCAUUGAAUCUUGAUUGGGUAGAAUAUUGUUAUGAUAUAUAAAAUAUUAAUAUCUGAUCAAUAUUGAUAACUUAAUGAAUCUAUUAAAUUGCUAAUUUAAUAGAGCCGAUAACUAACUUGAACCGAUACUCAUAAGAGAUUGAAGCAAUGCAGCCUUACAAAUACAAUUCAAGUCUAGUUCAAAAUCGAGUCUGACAUGGGUUCGAAUGAUGCAUCCAUGACAAACUAAACAUAAACCAUGACAAUACUUACAAGCAAACCGAAGGUCGAAAUCAAUCGAUGCAGCUCGAUUUGUUGAAAGUCUUGUCGAGACCUACUAUUACUCCUACUCCGAAGGUUGGUGGGCAGAGCCAAAAGGGGUUUGUAUUAUGAUGGUGUAUAUUAUUACAAAGAUCGGGUUCCUAAUAUUUAUAGUCCGGAGACCUCAUGUCCUAAUACGACUAUCCCAAAAAGGCAACCCAGACUCUAACUUUCUUUUUAUAAUUGAACCCGACACGUCUUCUUCGUCUUGCCUUGAUUCGACAUCCCUUCUAAAGCGUCGAGAUGGCAGACUAGAGGGGGGGGUGAAUAGUCCUUUCUAAAUUUUAUUACGCCGGCUAACCAAAACAAAUGCAGAAUUAAAACUAUCGGUCUAGCCAAGACUACACCCCUCUAUCUAAGUUCUCUAGCACCUUGAAAAGAUCCUAAACAAGCAAGCAAGAUGCUAGCUUCACAAGAGCUCACCUAACCAAUUUUAGGAGCAAGGUCACACAAACCUAUGCCACUAGUACUUUGCAAGACCGGGGAACUCCUACACAACUAGUAAGCAAAAGCACAAAGCUCCUAAGCUCACUAGCAAUGCUCAAUAACAAGGCAACCAAUGCCAAAUUAGAGAGCGCAUGUUACUUAGCUAUAGAAACUAAGCAAAGUGACUAACAAGCUGUCGAGGGUAUCAAUAAGGGGUACCCUCACUGAUGCACGUAACAAGACUAUCCGUACGCAAGCCGAGACCCUCAACUCGACGCUCCGCCCACACAUACGCGCAGCAAUCGACGGUUGCAGCCUCGAAGACGGAAGUAGCGUCGAGCGAACCACUAAGAGGUCGAGUGCUGACUACCGUCGAUUGCGGAAAUAGGCUCGAGCGAAUCAGGAGGCGUUGAGCGCAAGGACAAUGUCCGCCGCCUGACGCGCGCACGAGAGCCGGGGCAUUAAAUGCCCCUGCCGCUUUCUCACCUAACACGCCAGUCACGAGAGGCGUAAUAGGGAACAGGCACUCGUCCCGUCGUUCUUUUUGCAGCCUUCCCCACCAAACGUCCCAGGGCGUGUUAGGACGUGGGAAGCAGAGAUGGCACGUCUAAUCAAGACCCCCUCGAGGUAGCCAAGGUCAGCGCUCCGAUAUCAGGACAUUGUACGGCGUCCGACCCUCGACUUGACAUAGUUCCUUCCUGGGGACGGGUCGGACGUCGACUGGCCGCGCCGCAACCACUCCGCCGGAUUUGCCACCAAAUCGUACAAGCGUGCGUCCAUUGAACCAGUCAAAGACGGCGUACAGAGCAGAGUACAGGAGCACGCGUAAUCAUCACCGGGCUACCGAGACGGGACGACUCGAGGCCAUGCCGGUACGGAAGCCUCGAGUAGGUCAGCGCCCCCUGCUGCUAUCAACUCCUAUUCUGACGCCCAUACAUGUACCCUGGGACUCUCCUUGGAACUAUAAAAGGAGGGACUCAGGAAUAGAACAGAGAGACAACGCUCAUUCGCAGUAGAACUCCACAUUCCAUACCACGCUUGUAUUCGCCCAUGUACAAGCACUUAGGUGCAAGAUAAUACAAACUCUCUCCCCCCCCCCGCUGGACGUAGGGCCUUCUCUUGCCCGAACCAGGAUAAAUCUCUGUGUCUUCUUGCAUCACCAUCUGGGAAAGGGAGCACGCACACAAAUUCACUCGUUGGUGUGACCCCCCGUGGGGAAAACACCGACACAAGCUUACACAAACCAAAUUAGUCACGCAAGGGGACUACUUCUAGCUACACAAGCAAGAAGGUAACUAGCAAGCUACACAAGCUCACUAAUUACAAGAGCAACUACACAAGCACAAAUAAAUGAAUGUAAAUACAAGCUUGUGUUAGGGACAUGCAAACCAACGGGAAGAACAAAGUUGACACGAUGAUUUUCUCUCGAGGUUCACUUGGUUGCCACCAAGCUACGUCCCCGUUGUGUCGACCAACACUUGGUGGUUCGGCGGCUAAGAGGUGUUACACGAACCUCGUCCCUACUAGGACACCGCAAGAACCUACCCACAAGUGAGGUAGCUCAAUGACACGCACGAUCCAAUAGAGUUGCUCUUCACGAUCCUCGUGGGGUGCGCAUCGUACCCCUUACAAUCUCUUCUCUGGAGCACCGCACAAUCUCCUUGCGUGCUUCGAUGGAGUCACAAGCCACCAAGCCAUCUAGGAGUUGGCAACCUCCAAGAGUAACAAGCACCAUCGGGUUGCAAUACGAACACCUAGUGCCACUCAAUGCAAUCUCUCAAUGCAAUGCACUAGAAUCACUCACUUGUUAUUAAUUCACACUCUUGCAAGCACAAGUGAGUUAGAAGCUUUCCAAGCACUCCCCAAGCAUGGACACUAAGUCCCAGGGUGCUCAGCACCGGACAAGGCCGGCCACCACUUCUAUUUAUAGCCCCAAGGGCUAAACUAGUCAUUGCCCCUUCACUGGGCAAAACACGUUGGCACCGGACCCACUGUAGGGACCACCGGACGCUCAACUCCUAGUGUCCGAUGCUCAGGCAUCAGCCACGUGUCACUAGCCGUUUGAACUCGACCAUUACUGCCAAUAGCUAACACGCACGCGCGCCAGCACCAGCCACACGAGACGCUCUGCUGCUUCACACCGGACGCGCUCGGUGCACACCAGACCCUUGCGCAGAGAGCUCCGCAAACUCGCAGGGUCACCGAACGUGAGCCAUCGGAUGCACCCUGAGCGUCGAGUGCUCAAUGGACUCAUACGCAGAGAGGGUCGCCAAAAUGCCCGCACACCGGACACUGAGCACCAGACUCACUCAAGUGCGUCCAGUGCACUCUGCUUCCUUUGGUCAGACCCGACAGUACACUAGACGCUAAAGGCCAACGUCCGGUGCCUCCACGCAGUGCGUACGGUGAACUCCCGCGACUUCUCCAAAUUCUCCACCGGCGUAAUAGAAAAUAUACACUUAAUUUUCUCAAAAGCGCCGAGGAACCCACACCCCUCUCAACCCUAGGAUAUCCACCUCCUUUGUAAAUGUGCUAACACCAUCAAGUGUACACCACCUUGUGCAUGUAUGUUAGCAUUUUCACAAACAUUUUCCCAAAGGAGUUAGCCUCUCAAACUUGCCGUGCCACUCGAUCCUAACACGUAUGCAAUGUUAGAUUGCUCAAGUGGCACUAGAUGACCGAUAUGCAAACAAGUUUGCCCCUCUUGAUAGUACGACCAUCUAUCCUAAAUCCGGUCAUAAACUUCUCUACACACCUAUGACCAGUGUUGAUAUUUGGUAACGCCAUCUGGAAUUGAUCCGCAAGCGCACGGAUAUCGGUGAGCACUUCACCCGGGAGGUUAUCGAGAGUAUCGUAUUUAUAUUUUUACCACUGGGAGAAAGCGUGCAUCUGACUAACCAAAUCUAUUGCUACUACCCUUUAGGCUACAAAGAAUGUGACUCGAUGUGAGUGAUGUAUAGAGAAGACUAUGUUGACGGUCCUUAAGUACAAAAUAUAAUCAUCAAAUAAAUAAAGAAAAGGAUCCAAAUGCAACCAAAACCUAGACUUAGGGUUUUAUCUGACAGAAUUUCAUGAGUUUUGGUGUUUGUCUAUUUCUGCAGGGGGUUAUCAGGAAAUAAGGAAGAAAGGCCCACACGUCGGGAUUACAUAGAGAUAUCAACGGGCCGCUCAAUUAUCUUACAUCUCGAAGACUCCAGAAGCCAUGGGAAGGAAGCGGAGGCCGAAUGGAGCCAGGCCCUGGGCGCCCGCCCAGUUGACCUAGACGCCCGUGAAAGGUCCUUGUUUGGUUUUGGUAAUUGAGUGACAACUUAGGUGGACUAAUAGUGUUUAUGUGAGAUACACAGGAGAUUAGUCCAUAGGUGAUGAUGUGAUGAUGGAGGAGCUCAUUGCAUAUGAGACAUGACAUGGAGUCAUGUGACCAAGGUGGAGAAGAUCAAGAUGAGGCUUGGCUCGAUGGACCGGUUGCAAGAGUGAAGGGCAAGUCGAAGGCUUUGAAGCGAGGGACCGCGUGUGACGGUGAAGCUUGAGCAAGACUUGGCGCCGAUGGACCGAGGCAAUGGUGAAGAGCAAGUGAUGUCAAGAUCGAUGAACCAAUACGGUCACGUGAUGAUAUGAAGUGGAUCAUAUCAUUUGGUGAUUGGUUGGUGCAUGUGUUGCAUCAACAUUGGAGGAGAUGGAAUGGAAAGCGCAAGGCAAAGGUAUAACCUAGGGCAUUUCCAUUUCACGGUCAUAGGUGUGUAGAGAAGUUUAUGACCGGGUUUAGGAUAGAUGGCCGUACUAUCAAGAGGGGCAAACUUGUUUGCAUAUCGGUCAUCUAGUGCCACUUGAGCGAUCUAACUUUGCAUACGUGUUAGGAUCGAGUGGCGUGGCAAGUUGAGAGGCUAACUCCUUUGGGAAAAUAUUUGUGAAAAUGCUAACACACUUACACAUGGUGGUGUACACUUGGUGGUGUUGGCACAUUUACAAAGGAGGUGGAAUUCCUAGGGUUGAGAGGCGUGUGGUCGGCGCUUUUGAGAAAAAUAAGUGUAUAUUUUCUAUUGCCCCGGUGGGAAUUUUGGAGAAGUCGCGGGAGUGUUUCUCAGUAGGAAACACUCACCAGACGCUCUGCGCGGAGGCACCGGACGCUGGCCUUUAGCGUCCGGUGUGCUGUCGGGUGCAGCAGAGUGCACCGGACGAACCGGAGAGAGUCCGGUGCUCAGCGUCCGGUGUGCGGGCGGUUUGGCGACCCUCUCUGCGCAUGAGUCCGGUGAGCACCGGACGCUUAGGGUGCGUCCGGUGGCUUGCGUCCGGUGACCGUGCAAGUUUGCGGAGCUCUCUGCGCACGAGUCCGGUGAGCACCGGACGCGUCCAGUGUGGACUAGUUGAGCGUCCGGUGGUGCUGUGUCAGGUGCGAGCGCGUGCUAGCCGUUGGCGGCAACGGUUGACUUCAAACAGCUAGUGACACGUGGCUGACGUCUGAGCACCGGACGCUGGGGGUUGAGCGUCCGGUGGCUCCCUGUGAGCGUCCGGUGCCCACGUGUUUUGCCCAGUGAAGGGGCAACGGCUAGUUUAGCCCUUGGGGCUAUAAAUAGUAGUGGUGGCCAGCCUUGGCCGGUGCUGAGCACCCUUGGGACUUAGUGUCCAUGCUUGGGGAGUGCUAGUGAAGCCUCUAACUCACAUAUGCUUGAUAGUGAUCAUCCGAUUGUGUGAGUGAGCGAUUCUAGUGUGUUGCAUUGAGAGAUUGCAUCGAGUGGCACUAGGUGUUCGUGUUGCAAGCCGGUGGUGCUUGUUACUCUUGGAGGUUGCCACCUCCUAGACGGCUUGGUGGCUUGUGACUCCAUCGAAGCACGCAAGGAGAUUGUGCGGUGCUCCGAAGAAGAGAUUGUGAGGGGUACGGUGCUCACCCCGCGGAGACCGCGAAGAGCAACUCUAGUUGAGCGAGACGUGAAGAGCGACAAGUGGUCCGGCCGGGUCAAGUGCUAGAGCUUGUGGUAAGCACUCCACGUGGGAGAGUGUGACUUGUGGGUCACCACUAGCAAGAGGACCGGCGGCAACCUUGGAGCUUGUCUCAACGGGGACGUAGCUUGGUGGCAACCAAGUGAACCUCGGGAGAAAAUCAUCGUGUCAACUUUGUUCUUCCCGUUGGUUUGCAAUUCCCUAACACAAGCUUGUUCUUACAUUCAUAUAUUUGUGCUUGUGUAGUUGCUCUUGUAAUUAGUUAGCUUGUGUAGCUUGCUAGUUACCUUCUUUGCUUAGUUUGUGUAGCUAAGUAAGUUGCUCUCUAAUUUGGCAUUAGUUGCCUUGUUAUUGAGCUUGCUAGUGAGAUUAGGCUUUGUGCGCUUUGCCUCACUAGUUUGUGUAGGAGCUCCCCCGGUUUGCAAAGUACUAGUUGCAUAGGUUUGUGUGACCUUGCUCCUAGAAUUGUUUAGGUGAGCUCUUGUUAAGGUAGCACCUUGUUUGCUUGUUAAGGAUCUUUUACAAGAUGCUAGAGAACUUAGAUAGAGGGGUGUAGUCUUGGCUAGACCGAUAGUUUUAAUUCCGCAUUUGUUUCGGUUAGCCGGCGUAAUUUUUUUUAGAAAGGACUAUUCACCCCCCUCUAGUCCGCCAUCUCGACCCUUCAGCCCGCCCCCUCCUGGAGUCCAAACAGGACUCUCUUUUGGGAUCAAUCUCCACCGACCUAAAGGAUCAAGGAUAUCCGUUCAAUCAAUAUCGGUUUGAUCCGACGACCUAGAUUCACUUGAGGGGACUAUAUAACCAGACCCCCUGGCCCCUGGAGGAGGCACCCCUUGAUCAUUAUUCAUUAUUCAUAGACAGAGCAAAAGCUAGGGUUUAGAGAUGAGAGCUCUCUUCUCUUCUCUAAACUAGAGUAGAUCUAGAUAGUAGCAAGAUGGAGAGCGAAGGAGGAUUAGAGGAGAGGUCGGUGUUGACACUAGCUAACACCACUUAGAUACUAGGUUGUCAUCCCUAGCAUGGCGCCAGAGUGUACAAAGGUAUUUAUAAAUGUAAAGGCUCUCUAGAAAAUAAUCUAUUCUAUCCGCAAGCGCACAGAUAAAACACCUCAUUGUAGCAUUUCACCAGGAUAAGUAUUCCACGUAUCGUUAUUUAUAAUUUUGCUUAGGGGAUCUUAAGAAGAUGGAAUUAAAUCAAAGGGGCAAAAUCUAUCAAGGCAUAGACUAAAGAUAAACUUGCAAGAACAUGAUUACUAAUGAGAAACUCGUCACACAGUCACAUACUUUAGCAGGGGGUAAACCAUAAAGAUAAUUGAUAAUAAAGUAUAAGUUCAUGGGAUAAAGAGCACAACGAUUAGAAAAUAGACUACUCCUCAUAUAUGUAGGUGAUGUCGGAUUAGCUAGAGAAUGGAUUCUAAGUCAUCUACUAACUACUAAGUCAUAAUCUACUCUAGUUAUCUACAAGAUCAUAUAUAGCAUAAAAGACUCUUCAUUCAUGUAUAAGGAACAUUGAUAAAGUAAAUCAGAACAUCGCAUGACUUACUCCACAAUACCGGUUCUGCCUGUCCUAUCAACGGAGGGUGGACUAUAUAAGAAUCAACGAAGCUGUCACUAUCGCGAACUACCACACGACUCGGCCAAUAGGAUACAUUUGCAGAUAAAUAACAUCUAACCACCACGCUCACAUGUGAUCUAUCACUUAACUCCCUCGUGACAAGAGCUAAGCGCUUUGCAAACUUAUACAUAAACUCAUUAUCAAUUAGAACUAUAUCAAAUAUAGAACUAGAGCAAACUAAGAACAUAAUAAUUAGAGACAUAAUGCAAUUAGAACAAUAGAAUUAGAGAAAGAUAUGAAUAAUACCAAUCUUUAUUACCGAAGAUCCGAAUCCAUAGCGUAGUGCUCUACUUCUCUAAUUGCUAUCUAAUCAAACCUCUAAACUUGAAGGAUUAGGGAGUAGCUAAUUCUAAUUCUCUGUGGGAGAGAAGCUCUAAACCCUACUUUGAUGGCUACCUCUGAAUAAUGAUUUCUCCUCCUCUCCUCCAGGGGCCAGGGGGUCUGGUUUUAUAGUCCCCUCAAGUGAACGUGAGCCAUUGGAUCAAACCGACAUAGAUUGUAUGGUUUAGAUUGAUCCUUUAGGUCGGUGGAGCGUAGUCCCGAAGCAGAGUCCUGAUUGGCUUCCUGGCCAGGGCGGGCGCCCAAGGGGGGUGGGCGGGCGCCCAGCCCCCGAGCCCGAAUUGCUUCCCGUUCGUUCCCAUGGCUUCUGGACCCUUCUAGAUCAAGGAAAAUUGCGCGGCACGUAAUUAUCUCGUUGUAAACAUGACAUGUGGGCCUUCUCUCCCUAUUUUCUGAUAAACCCCUGCAGAAAUAGAUAAACACCAAAGCUCGUGGAAUUCUAUCAGAUAAAACCCUAAUUCUAGAUGUUUGUUUCAUAUUGAUCCUUUUUCAUGUUUAUUUGAUUAUUAAUUUUAGUACUUAAGGACCGUCAACAAACUCCCCCAAGCUUACCCUUUGCUCUUCCCUGAGCAAAUAGCUAAACUCAGACGGAUCAGAAGUUGCUUCGAUGUUUUCUUUCCUGACAGGCACACAUGCUUUUACAUAAAAAUUCUUCCAGAUUAGAGUGAAGUGUUAUGAAGUUUAGUACCUGCACUUAAGUCUUAAGUAAUCGAAAGACAAAAUAGUUAAGUCAAGCACUAUCCCUCCUGUCUAUACUUCACCUUUGUUCUAGAGUUUUUCAUAAGUUUUCAAAAUAAAACUCAGAGUUCCUAGCAAUGAUUCUCUCAAGUCUCUCUAUAUGUGGUAUUUGUGGAUCCUUACCAUAAUGUCACUUACCUAUAGCUAAUGAAAUAUUUAAGUGGAGCUCAUAGGAGUGAAAAACAGCUCAUACAUAUGUUGUCUAAUCGAGCCAUGGAUCCAAAGGAACUCAGCAUAUAAUUAAAUCAAGAUGUGCAUGUGUGAUGGAGUAAAUGAUAGUGAUGGUGAAAAUGCAUAAGUGAUAAUAAAACUUAGUUCUCAUUGCUCCUCAUAUUGCUAUCUCUCCUCCUCUUUGAUCUUUGCUUUGGGAGAACAUGGGCUAUCUUUUUUUUCUUUCAGGUGGGUAAUAGAUACCCCUAAUUCUACUGUCGGACGCUUGUCCAUUUUUUCCGCUCAAGUGGGCAUCUUUGUACCCCUAAUUCUACUUCGGACACUUGUCCAUUUUUAUCUCUCGUCUCACUCUUUUUCUUUCUUUUUCGAGGUUCCCGGGCACUUGCCCCUUUUUAUUUCCUCGUAUAUAUUUUUGCAUAACCCAUGCCUCUUCUACAUUGAAUCUUUUUAGAGAGAGAGUACAACAAUAUUCGGGACAGUGAGUGAUAAUAUUUUUAGCAAUUUUAAUGAUUGAUGAUGAAUGCUGUGGUAGAUGCGUGCAAGUGAAUAUCUUAAUUUAACCACAUGAAAAGCUCCUAAGGGUCAACACAGCUCGAUCAAACUCAAUGUAAAUAUAGUAAAAGAUGUUAUAGCAAGUACGGCUGUGGUAGGUAGUUUGUUAUGCUAGGAACUCAUCAUGCGCUUCGUAAGUUUUCAAAAUAAAUCUCCAGAACUUAGUGUAGUAGGAACAAGAUAAACAGUAGCUCAACUUUAUAUCAUGUCUUUCUCUUACCUAGACUUUAGUUUUAUGCUUUCCAAAGAUAGUAAUUUUAGUUUUAGUAAUUUCUGGAAGAAUUCUAAUAUAAAAGCUAGGUACUUGUAAGUAAGCAAACAGAGCAACUGUUCAUCAUUUCCAUCAUGCAUAUUUUUGGUCUUUUUAUUUUUUUUAGAGAUUAAACUUAGCAGAAAAAUAAAGCACACUUAUCUACACACUCUUUUUAUUUUGUUUUCAUGUUUAUAGAAUGCAGUAAAUUAAGAAAAUAUUUAUUUGGUUUUCUAAGUUUUUUUUUCUUUUAAGAUAAAUUAAAUACUAAGACAGAAUAGAAUAAAUAAGAACAGCAAAUAAAAACUUACUUGAUAAAUUUGGGAGGAACUCCCCCAAGCUGGAUGUUGACGUCGGUCUUACCCGAUGUUCCAGAACCGCAUCAUGGUUGUGAUGUUAUCAUUCAUUGUUGUUGUAUCUUGUCUUAGCUCUUCUACUGCAGCGGCAUGGUCCUGGUUCCAUUUUUGUUGCUCUUCCAGGAGUCUUCCAUGUUCUGCUUGCAUAUUCUGGAUGUCGAGGAGGGUGUUGUCGGUACGAGUGAAGAAAGCACCGGCCUCUUGAUAGUUGUCAUUCGUGAAGGCGUAGAAGGCAUCGGAGUAUCGUCCUGCAUCAAAUUGGGGUGGAGGUCUGGAUCCUGAAGCUCCAUAUGGAUCAGUGGAGUACCUGCCCGUAUGAAAAGGCGGGUUUGUCCACUGGUGAUCUUGGCUCUCCGGCCAUGUCUCCUCUGUUGGCUCUUGUGGUUGCGCAUGACGAGCCCAUGGGUCUCGAAGGACUCGUGGAUUAUAAUCGCAAUAAUGCAGGUGCGCUGCUUCUUCUGGUCCAGGGUCAGCUCCAUACCAAGUGCGUUCUCUAUGAGUGGUUAUCCUUUCAGAUGCCACUCGCUGUGGAGUUCUCUGGUUCACUGGUGUUGCUGCAAUCUCAAUCAAAAUGUUUUGCACAGUGUAGAGGCCAAGGUUCGGGUUAGGUAACCGAAUCUUGCCUUUAUCAUCAUACAGCAUAUACAUUAUAUUCCCCUCUUUCUUUAACAUCCGAGCUUGUCUAAAUGUGUCAUAGCCAUGAUAAAUUCUUAGUUCUUCUAUGAAGUCCAACGAUGAGUUUUCUAGUAAGUGAAGAUUAGUGGCUAGACGAGUGAUAAGUGAAGUACAUCCUACUGGUCCCUGAAGACUAGGUAUACUAAGCCAAUGUGAAACUAAUAGUGUAACAGGUGAAGUAGGUACUUUACUAAUAGCAGCAUAUAAAAGUUGUAAAUCUCCUACUCUUACUUUCCUAAUAUCGUCACGAUAGAAAAGAUUGUACCCAAGCCAUUUGUGAAACAUCCUAAGAGUGGGGUGUUCCAUGUCACUGGUUCGGGCUUGACUAUACAAAUUAUCUCUAGAUAUUUCUCUCCAAAACUGGUGUCUCUCAAAAUUGGGUAAAUCGGAGUCAAUGUUUAGGAUGCAUCUUGAAGAGAAACCAAGAUGGUCGCUUAGCUCUCUCCAAGACAACAUAAUUUCUUGUUUGAACAUCCGAAAAACAAUUCCCCCCUCAUAGUAUUGUAAAGUGCAAAGAAAUUCGAGGGUGAGAAGACGAGAACCCAGCUCAGUUAUAUUCCAAAAAUUUGUCCAACCCAUCAUUUGAAAAAUUAAGUCAAAUUCAGUGUCCAUACCUGUUUCUCGUAGUAGGAUUGGAUCGAUAGUAGGGGUGUGAAUGAAAUCUUUAUUCUUCAAUUGCUGAUAGACUUCCUUUUCUCUUCGGGUCUUCAGUCCUAGGUCUCCUAUCUUGAGAAGGACCUUAACUUGCUGACCUGAUGAAGAUGAUGGAGCUUGUGUGGGUGUCGGGUCGACGCUCAUCUCUGAUGGUUGUGAGGAGUGUCGGGAUGAACUCCUUGUACCAAUGUUCUUGAUAGCCUUCCCUGCAUUCUUUACCUUCUUAAACAUCCUGCAAACAAAAGUUGGCAAAAACACAACUGGUGGAAAAUGUGAGAUAAAAUGUUAGUGGUCAGCUGUCCGGAGUGUUAGUAGUCCAGGGGUUAAUCGUUCAAGACAAGUUUCUAUUUUGGUAGAGCCUCCCUCUAAACAACUUUUACUUCCGCUUGGACAGCGGGAUCACUAUUUGCUAGGUGACAAUCACUUUCUCAAAAGAACUCCAACCUUCCCUUCCACUCUCCUCUUUCUCUCUACUCUCUUCUCUUCACUACAAAAGCUCCUUCUCGGGAAACUGAGAUUUGUGUGGUUUUUUGAAGUGUUUGUGUGAAGAGAAGGGGAGCUGGAGGUGGCCUUUUAUAGGCUAAGCAGGGGACAGGGCGGGCGCCCAAGGUAGGUGGGUGGGCGCCCACCCCUGGUGUCCAUCCUGGGUGUGCCUCCUCCACAUGCUUCCUUGCUUUGAUCUCACGCAGAAUAAUAUUGUGUUGGUAGUGGUUGGACGGUGGAAAGAUGUCAAGUGAGUGGAAACAUAUUGGUGGAUGAAAUUAUGUGAUGGGAUGUAUGUGAGGUGAAGUAUAUGACAUGUGGGACCCAAAGAGUGUGGGUCAUGCUUCUAGAAGAUUAAUAUAAAUAAAUAUAAUGCAGGAAAAUCUAUGAGAAUUGAAACUUAAUGAAAAUGAUAUUGGAAAAUAUUUUUGUGCCUCCACAAUAGUUAAUAAGUAUGGGUUGUUACACACCACGAAUAUUAUUUAUAUGGGGCUUUUUGAUUUUUAUAAUUAUGCUAUGAAUGUAUGACUAAUGCAAGAAUUAAUUAUGCAAGAAGUUAAAUAUGAGAAAAUUAAUAAUGCAGGUAAAUACCGAUUUACCUCCCGGUGAGGGUUUGGGAUUUUUAGGUCCCCCAAGCUGGACCUCCAAAUCUUUUAAUCUUCUGAGUUACCUUCCUCCGGAGAUGGUGUCUCCGGUGGUUCUUCAUGAACUUCCUUCACUGUAGAGUCUCUCUCUGGUCUGGGUUUGAAUGUGAAGUGUUCUUCUUGACCGUUUAUGUUGAACUUGAUUUCUCCCUUCCUGACAUCAAUGUGGGCAUUGGCAGUGCUCAGAAAUGGUCUUCCAAGGAUGAUGGACACUUUUGAGUCAGGACUCAUGUCCAGUACUACGAAGUCUACUGGUACCAGGAAAUCUCUGAUCUUGACUGGAAUGUUCUCGGCGAUGCCCAACGGGUGUCGAACCGAUUGAUCCGCUAGUUGUAGACACAUUGAUGUUGGUUCUAAAGUUGCAUGCUCAAGCUUUUUGUAGACUGAUGCUGGCAUCACACUGACACUUGCUCCGAGAUCACAAAGUGCAUUAUUGAAGUGUUGGUUUCCGAUCGAGCAAUCAAUAGUGGGGCAUCCUGGAUCUUCCUUCUUCUUUGGUGGUUUGUUGAGGAUGGCCGCACUACAUUCUUCUGUCAGCUUGAUAACCUCAGUGGUGGGCAGUGGUCUCUUCUUGUUAAGAAUAUCUCUGAUGUACUUUGCGUAUGUAGGUACCUGUAUGGCAUCGAGCAGAGGUAUGUUGACAUAUAAUUUCUGAAUGACCUCUACAAACUUACCAAACUGCUCAUCCAACUGCAGUCCUCUGUUUCUUCUGGGAAAUGGCAAAUAGUUGGUGUCGUAAAAAUCUUUCCUCAUUUCUCUAGUUCUUGAUGGUUGUAGCAGAUCUUCUGCUUCAACUGGGCUUUCUUCUUCUAUCACAGCUGGUUGCACUGGUGCUGAUGAUCUUUGUUUCUCUUUUGGGUAUGGUGGAUCUCUGGUAGCUUUACCUCCUCUAGUAGUUAUAUUCUUUACCUGCUCAAGGUUAGUAGGAACAGGCAGUGCAGCAGCUAUCUUUAUUAAUUUAAGCUCUACCCUUUUAUUAAGAGUGUUUUGCUCAUCAAAGGCAGUUAGUAGAAAAUCCAUUUUAUUGUGUAUAUCUUUUAGAGAUGAUUCAUUUGUAUCUAGCCUUUGUUUAACUUCAUUAUUAAUUUUGGUUUGUUGAGCAAUUAUCUCUUUUAAUGAAAGUUGCUUGAUAGUAUUACCUGAAUUCAUACCUUUGCUAUUGGGUUGACUCGAAGUUGGUUGAUAUUUGUAUGCUGUCUCAAUGGCCCUUUGAUCUUCUUUGAACUUGGCCCUCUGGUCAAUCCAAUGGAGCAAAUUUUCCAUCUUAGUUGAUAAUGCUUUUACAUCUUCUUGUAUUUCUUCAGUUUGAUGACAAUGUUGAGCUUUAUCUUGGAACCAGCUUUGGUUUUCUGCUAUCUUAUCCAAAAGUAUCUCUGCUUUUCCAGUUGUAAGCUCCAAGAAUGAUCCUUUAGCAGAUGCAUCUAUGCACUCACGAGCCUUCUGGGUUAAUCCAUGGUAGAAGGUCUGCAUAAGUAACCAUGUGGCCAUUCCAUGGUGAGGACAAUCUGAUAUGUAUCCUUGAAAACGCUCCCAUGCUUCUGAAAUGGCUUCUGUCUUCUGCUGUUGGAAACUGACAAUAUUUCCUCUUAAGGCAGUUGUUUUGCCUAUAAGGGAAAAACUUUGAUAGAAAGGUAUCUGACAAGUUCGUCCAGUUGUUGAUGUUAUCUUGAUGAGUGUAGAACCACUUCCUCGCUUUUCCUUCUAGUGAGAAUGGAAAAAGGCGAAGCAGUAUGACGUCUUUGUCAACUCCGUUGAUGUGGAUUGUGCUUCCAAUCUCUAGGAAAUUCUGCAAGUGUGCACUGGCAUCUUCAUGUGCCUUUCCACUGAAUUGUGUAGCUUGUACCAAAUUGAUGAGGCUUGACUUGAGCUCAAACUCGGGUAUUCCUUCUUCUACUGCAAAUCUUGGACCGGUUGGAAUGUUGUCAAGACUUGGAGCAGAGAAUUCUUGCAAGGUCUUGUGUGCCAUAGCUUCAGCAAUUGGUAGCUAGCUUCUUCUUCUCUUGAUUGCUUUGGUUCUGAUGAUGUAGAGUUGAAUGUACCCAAAGUCAAUCCUGUGAUACCCUGUAUAAAAAUAUAAACAUAGAAAAACAACAGGGUGAACCUGCCAAAGCAGCGGUGCCUUGUUAUGAUUUCUCACUUAGUAGCUGUUUUAUGCAAUUAUUUCUCUAUAGUCUAGUCUAAUAUUUUAUAUGAAUAAUUCUUGAUUGGUUUUCUGGCUUUCCUUACCGUUCCUAAAUAUUACUCCUUUGUUCCCUUUUAUGACUUAUUCCUGAGACUCAUAUAAUUAUCCUAUAAUUCCUAACAUGUCCUAUAGAUCCUAUAGAUCCCCGGCAACGGCGCCAGAAAUGCUUGUUGACACUAGCUAACACCACUUAGAUACUAGGUUGUCAUCCCUAGCAUGGCGCCAGAGUGUACAAAGGUAUUUAUAAAUGUAAAGGCUCUCUAGAAAAUAAUAUAUUCUAUCUGCAAGCGCACAGAUAAAACACCUCAUUGUAGCAUUUCACCAGGAUAAGUAUUCCAGGUAUCGUUAUUUAUAAUUUUGCUUAGGGGAUCUUAAGAAGAUGGAAUUAAAUCAAAGGGGCAAAAUCUAUCAAGGCAUAGACUAAAGAUAAACUUGCAAGAACAUGAUUACUAAUGAGAAACUCGUCACACAGUCACAUACUUUAGCAGGGGGUAAACCAUAAAGAUAAUUGAUAAUAAAGUAUAAGUUCAUGGGAUAAAGAGCACAGCGAUUAGAAAAUAGACUACUCCUCAUAUAUGCAGGUGAUGUCGGAUUAGCUAGAGAAUGGAUUCUAAGUCAUCUACUAACUACUAAGUCAUAAUCUUCUCUAGUUAUCUACAAGAUCAUAUAUAGCAUAAAAGACUCUUCAUUCAUGUAUAGGGAACAUUGAUAAAGUAAAUCAGAACAUCGCAUGACAUACUCCACAAUACCGGUUCUGCCUGUCCUAUCAACGGAGGGUGGACUAUAUAAGAAUCAACGAAGCUGUCACUAUCGCGAACUACCACACGACUCGGCCAAUAGGAUACAUUUGCAGAUAAAUAACAUCUAAGCACCACGCUCACAUGUGAUCUAUCACUUAACUCCCUCGCGACAAGAGCUAAGCGCUUUGCAAACUUAUACAUAAACUCUUUAUCAAUUAGAACUAUAUCAAAUAUAGAACUAGAGCAAACUAAGAACAUAAUAAUUAGAGACAUAAUGCAAUUAGAACAAUAGAAUUAGAGAAAGAUAUGAAUAAUACCAAUCUUUAUUACCGAAGAUCCGAAUCCAGAGCGUAGUGCUCUACUUCUCUAAUUUCUAUCUAAUCAAACCUCUAAACUUGAAGGAUUAGGGAGUAGCUAAUUCUAAUUCUCUGUGGGAGAGAAGCUCUAAAUCCUAACUUUGAUGGCUACCUCUGAAUAAUGAUUUCUCCUCCUCUCCUCCAGGGGCCAGGGGGUCUGGUUUUAUAGUCCCCUCAAGUGAACGUGAGCCAUUGGAUCAAACCGACAUAGAUUGUAUGGUUUAGAUUGAUCCUUUAGGUCGGUGGAGCGUAGUCCCGAAGCAGAGUCCUGAUUGGCUUCCUGGCCAGGGCGGGCGCCCAGCCCCCGAGCCUGAAUUGCUUCCCGUUCGUUCCCGUGGCUUCUGGACCCUUCUAGAUCAAGGAAAAUUGCGCGGCACGUAAUUAUCUCGUUGUAAACAUGACAUGUGGGCCUUCUCUCCCUAUUUUCUGAUAAACCCCUGCAGAAAUAGAUAAACACCAAAGCUCGUGGAAUUCUGUUAGAUAAAACCCUAAUUCUAGAUGUUUGUUUCAUAUUGAUCCUUUUUCAUGUUUAUUUGAUUAUUAAUUUUAGUACUUAAGGACCGUCAACAGUCGGCCUGUCAAUUCUUCCUCCGGUUGUACUUCGUCAUGAUCAAGCUCUAAUCAAGCUUGCUCAUGGGAUGACUCUGAUAAUCUACUUCUAAUUCAUUAUGCAAUUACUAAUCAUGUAUGUUCUGGUUCACAACUCUUUUGAGUACUUCUAAUCUAUAGGACCCUAUAGGUUAGAGUUGUAGUAUAGGUGUAAGCGUGGUGCUUAGAUCUAGAUUACUUGUGGAUAUCCCCUGUCUAGCUGGAUCGUGUGGUAGGCCGCAUAGGUGACACUUACGUUGGUCCCCUGUAGUCCACCUCUCGUUAGCAGGACGGGUAGGGUUUAUCGGCCUAUGGAUAAGCAUCCUUUGUGGUGUAUUCUUAUCACGUGGUUCAUCCCAGACAUAGACAUACCCCUUUGAAGUAGAGAAACCAUAGUUAUCCUCUCUAUUCUGCUACCAUCGCCCAUAUAUUAGAUUGCUCUACUCUCUAUUCCCAUAUUAUCACUCAUUGUUAUCUUACCUUUAAUAUUGUUCUUAUUCAAUUCUACUAUCUUUCCUAUUUACACCUAUUUAUUUAUCUUGGUUAUGUUAGAGCGUAGAUCAGUUCUCCCGUUUCCCUGUGGAUAUGAUAAAACCUUUAACCGGGUAAAAGCUACAACGGUAUCCGUGCGCUUGCGGAUUAUCUGUGUGCGUAUAAAUACCAUAGUACACUCUAGUGCCAUGCUAGGGAUGACAACCUAGUAUUCAAGUGGUGUUAGCAAGUGUCAACAAGCAUUUUUGGUGCCGUUGCCGGGUAGACGGUUGCUGAGUUGACUACGAACUAGCUUAAUCAUUUUCUAAAAAAUAAAAAAAAUAAUAAUAUACUUUUCCUUUUAUCUUUUGCCUUAUCUCUGUUAUUCUUUCUUCUUAUAUAAUCCUUGAUCUCUGGUCUAUCAUGAAUUCAAACAUGUCUAUCUAUGAAUUUCAUAGACCUACGGGCACACAUCUCGAACCACCAAAAUCUUCAAAGCCUAUCAUAGCAUCUAGUUUUGAGAUAGACCCCGAAUACAUAGAAUUUGUUCAAAAACAACCUUUCUCAGGAGAAGGUGAGGAAAACCCAUACACACACCUAAGAGAGUUUUAUCGAGUCUGUGACCUCCUUCGCAUAGAAAGCAUGUCCGAUGAGACCCUUAAAUGGAAGCUCUUUCCGUUCUCUUUAACAGGAAAAGCUAGACAUUGGUACAAACUCAAUGUAAGGAGUGUUCAUGGACAUUGGAAGGAGUUAUAUAGUAGUUUUCUUUCUAAAUAUUUUCCAAUCUCCAAAGUGGUGGAACUUCGGCGUGAGAUUCUUUCUUUUAGACAACUGGAAGAAGAAUGUCUUGGCAAAUCAUGGGACCGCUUUAUUAACCUUACUCUCACUGGCCCAAAGCUUUCUAUUACAGAAGAAGUUCUUCUAAUUCACUUUUUUGAGGGCCUUAGUAGGAAAAAUAAGCAAACCCUUCAUGCGGCCUCUGGAGGAUCUUUCCACCACCUAUCUGCUAAUGAAGCUUGGAAUUUGAUUGAUUUAAUGAGCGGAAAGUCUCCUAGCUUUUAUAUCCCUGAGAAAGAGAAAGAACCAGUUCCUAGACAAGAAGAAGAAGUUUCGAUAGCCAGAUCACAACCACUUCAAUCCCAAACUUUAGCUAUCGAUCCUAAACCAUCAAUACCCCAAAAUUCUCAAAGGGAGGAAGGAAUUCCGACCUUAAUUCUUUCAGAUACUGAUGGUUUAGACUUCUGGUUCCAUAAGAGACCUUCAAGCAGGGAUAAUUCAAAUCCUUGCAAUAAUGUUUCUCUUAGAGAAUGUCCUGGUUCCUUUUAUGAAGAAGUCGAGGAUGACAUAUCAAGUGAAGGAGAGCUAAGCCAUAUAGAAAAUUCUAACACCUCCCCUUUCCUGAUCACAAGUUCCAAAUGUCUAGAAUGCGUAGAAUGGAUGGAUAAGGAAGAAGCUUUAAUGGAUUGUGACUUUGGCUCAAUUUCAAAUGGUGAGUUCUUGACUCCCUUUGAAGAUGAGAUUCAUCCAACUACAUAAGAGGACAUAGGAGAGACCAAUCCAGGAGAAACUCCGAACAUUCAGAUUGGAGACGAAGAUAACAUUAAUGAGCAUAGAAUUUAUUUCAUAGCCACUUCGUUUGCUCCAUGCUCAUAUGCAACAUCUUCCCAAUCUAUUGGUCUCUCCAACAUCACCACAUUUGAGAUCUCCAACCCCCUCUUCCUUUCUAUUUAUAAAAACAUUAAAAUGGCGGUUGUCGAUGCAUAUGUCUAUAAUAAAUAUUGCAGAUCUCGUGGAGUUGAUCUUGAUAUAGGUCAGCGUUGGAAGGGAAACCACUUCGCCGACAUAAAUUGAUGGUUUCCCAAGGACAAGCUUAGUGUCCUAAAAUAAGCACUGAUGAGAUCGUAACAUGAGCUUUUAAUAAUUUACAAUAUUACCUUGUGUAUUGAGCAUAUAAGGAUAAUUAUAAAAUAUUCCUUCUGGUAUUCUUGUCACUAACCUUUCCAGGAUUGGAGCAAGAAGAUCGGAUGAAUGACAAGCACAAGGUAUGUCCAACCGAUCAUCAUACAACAUUGAAUUAAAUUCAUCCAAACUUGAAUUUUGCAAAAUUCAAGCUUGGGGGAGUAAUUUACAUAAAAACAUCUUUUGCCAUGUUGCUAUGUUGGUUGUCCCUACCUUUGAGACAUGCUCAAUUUGUAAAAUACUAAUCACACUACUUCAUCUCCACUUGAGUAGAUCUCUAUAAAUACUCUCAUGCUACCUUUAUUUGCUUUAGUAUAUGUCUGGGUUUGGAGUAGUUUCAUUUAUCUCUUAAAUAAGCAUGGUGCUUAGUUUAGGAAUGAUGAUCUUACUUCCAAGGGAUUUUAAAUUAAGCAUGGUGCUUAGGUUAAAAUGCCCUCCUAAAUCAAAUUAGACAUUAUGUCUAGGUUUAUUUUUGAGCCGAUAGUAUGCUAUAGUAGAUAUUGGAUAUUUUGUUGGACUAAACCCUACAGGAAAACUUUCAAUAUCGACCUGGGAAGUCCUGAGAUAAACUCACAUCAGAGACAAAGGGAUAGACACAUGAAGUUUAACAAUUUACACAAGGAAGACGUAGCUCAUAAGAGAUGAUCCAUGGAGAGUGCUACAAACACGAUGCACAACCGCUAAGAAAGGAAAGCUUCCACAAGGUGAGACUGUACCAUCACUCUUCAAUUAAGGUAACACCUUAAGGUACUUGACUAUCACUUUUAUAAGCUUCUCUUUGGUUCUGGCGUUCAUAUGAAUAAAAGAGACAAACAUGUAUGAUUUAUAACUCCAAAUUAACCAACCCCACUGAUUCAGCAUGUUUGGUCCCUUAAUCUUUGAUCCCCACACUCCUAGUCAAAUGAGCUAAAAUGUUGCACAGUUAAUCUUUGGGAAGAUAUAAAGAAAAAGACAUAUAUAUAGAUAGAUUAUCUUUCCAUUAGGUUGAGCGAUCUGAUCCGGCAAAUGUUUUAAAUGCUACAUCAUGAACUUAUCAUACAUCAACUUUGUCUUGCUCACCAUGCUUAAGGUUAGAGAAGAACAAAUACACUUUUGGUUCUGUUGGUGUUUUCCACCAACAGGGCCAUGCACUUGAUCUCUGCCUUGUCUCUAUGAGCAGGUACACUACGAGCACAAACACACUGAGCAAGAUACUGCCAACACCGCACUUCGAACUACUGGGCAAACGAAGAACAUGGGUGACACCAUAUUAAGAGGUGCAGACGUCAAGGUCCACACCUGAAUCAAAUGACGCACCUGAAGAAUGAACACGGUGAGAAGUCUUGUUCAGAAGACUUAAAACAUUGAAUCCUCACCGAAAGGUAAAAUCGGUAGUUAUCCAUAUUUAUCCUUUCUGCAUUCUCUUUUCCCUUUAAUUAUUUACUUUCCUUAAAUAGCUUAUUAGUUAAUCAUGCUAUCUUGAAAAGAAAAUAAAAAUGUUAAAAAAUAAUAAGCCCCAUGUGAGUAUGCUCGUGGCAUGAAACCCAUAAGUACAUUCACUGUGGUGGCGUAAAAAUAAAAUAAAUAUAUUCUUGUCCUAUAGAAAUAAAAAUAUAAAAAUAAAUUUAUGAUCCUACCAAAGAGAAUAAUAUUUAUUAGAGGAAGCUCAAUAUGAUAAAGGCAAAGCGAUUUUAUGCUAACACUUAACCAGUUCCACAAAGCUUUGUUGUCUAUUUUACCUCCACAGAAUUCAAGGAUCAAAGAAGACUAGCAGACGGAGGACAUUCUAAUCGCUAUCUGGGUGCUGCCGACAUUCAAAUACACCUCCGCCACCUGCUAGCUGAAUCAAAAGAAAUUACGUCAAAAUCCAACUUGGGGGAGAGCACUCCCAUUUAUCCAGCUAAGUGUUUCUACUCGCGUUUAUCCUUUACUCAAAUAAUAAAAAGAUGCAUGAUCAUAAAAACCCAAAUAAAGAUUUUAUGGUUAUAUAUAUCUAUGCUUAGUUUGCUAAAUAAAUAAAAAAAUAAAGUUUGCUAUGAACCCUCAUGAUAAGCUCUCACAUAGAAAUGAUGAAUAGUUGUUCUGCCAUGACUAGUUCUCAAAAUUGAAUUCUCUCUCAAGUUUAGGCAUGACUGUUAUUAAUUAAGAUUUGCUCUAAACCUGAACUUGUGGGAAGAGUACUUGAUCUAAAGUCUAAGUCGUUAACAGAUAUGAUAUGGGAAGGUUGAGCUGCUGUUUAUCUGUUCCUAGAGAUGCUAGAAUUCUGGAGAAUUUUAUCAUUGAAAAUCUUUAAAAUAUUGCAUGAUGACUUCCUGUAUGAUGAGAGUUUAAAAUCCUACCACAGGCACAUAUACAUGCUUAUUAGACUAUGAACUGUACAUUUACUUUUUAGUACUUAUGAGCAUUGAGUGUGGUCAAGUUAUGUAGACUCUUAGGAGCUUGUCAUGCAGUUAAAAUCAAGAUCCAAUUGCACGUUCACUCAUACAUGCUGCUUCUACUGCGGAAGUACGCAUCCACAUACAUCCACUCAUUUCCAUCUCCAGAUUCACCCAAAAUUAUUCUACUCCUAUCAAGGAGAGAAUAGCCAAAAACAUUGUCCUAUCCCUGUUAUUCCCCGUGAAAUAAAUGCUGGAGAUAUUUUGGUUACUACCACUUGCAACAUUAUUCCAGGAGGGUGAGUGCUCUAAAAAAGAGAAGAAAAAGUGAAUACGAGGAAAUAAAAAGGGGCAAGUGCCCGGAACCUCGAAGAAAAGAAAAAGUGAGACGAGAGGUAAAAAUGGACAAGUGUCCGACAAUAGAAUUAGGGGUACAAUAUACCCACCUGAGAGAAAAGAAAAAAAAGAAAAUAUAGAGCAUCUCAUUCCCCUCAAAAAGUUUCAAAGGGCAAGAAAGGUAUGUAUCCCCUCAAAAGAGCAAAAGUAGAAUUAGACUUUCACCAAUGUUUUCACCAUUAUCACCAUCAUCACCAUACACCAUUCAUUCGCCACACAUGCACAUCUUGAUUUGACUUAUUGACUUGUUUCUCUGGAUCUAUGGUUUGAUUAUGCAAUAAAUGUCUUGUAAGUAUGUAUUAGCUGUCUCCCACCUAUGAGCUCCAGAUAUCAAACCUUAUUAGAGUAGGGUGAGAGAGAAGACAAUAUCACUAUGCCUCAUACCACAAAUACCACAUACUUUGAGAGCAGGCAUAUGCCAUUACUGCCUUGGUAAGGAUCAAGAAAUACCACAAAAGAGAGAUUUGAGAGAGUCAUACAAGGAAUCUCUGAGUUUUAUUUGAAAAUCUGCAAAAACUCCAGAGCUAUAGUUGAUCAAAGAACAAGAGACAUGGUGCUUGACUUGACCGUUCUAUCUUUUAACUGCUCAAGACAUAAGUGACGGUUGCAAGCCCCAUGGUGGAAGGUAAUAUGAGUAUGUUUAAAUCUUAAUUGUUUACCUUAACCUAGAGAUGAGAUCUUGUUUGAACGCAUGUGUACCUUUAAGGCAAAAAACCACUGCAGAAACUCUUGAGUCCAUCCUUGCUCAGGGACGAGCAAGAGGUAAGCUUGGGGGAGUUGUUGACGGUCCUUAAGUACCAAAUAUAAUCAUCAAAUAAAUAAAGAAAAGGAUCCAAAUGCAACCAACACCUAGACUUAGGGUUUUAUCUGACAGAAAUCCACGAGUUUUGGUGUUUGUCUAUUUCUGCAGGGGGUUAUCAGGAAAUAAGGAAGAAAGGCCCACACGUCGGGAUUACAUAGAGAUAUCAACGUGCCGCACAAUUAUCUUACAUCUAGAAGAAUCCAGAAGCCACGGGAAGGAAGCGGAGGCCGAACGGAGCCAGGCCCUGGGUGCCCGCCCAGUUGACCUGGGCGCCCGCCCCCUCCUGGAGUCCAAACAGGACUCUCUUUCGGGAUCAAUCUCCACCGACCUAAAGGAUCAAGGAUAACCAUUCAAUCAAUGUCGGUUUGAUCUGACGGCCUAGAUUCACUUGAGGGGACUAUAUAACCAGACCCCCUGGCCCCUAGAGGAGGCACCCCUUGAUCAUUAUUCAUUAUUCAUAGACAGAGAAAAAGCUAGGGUUUAGAGAUGAGAGCUCUCUUCUCUUCUCUAAACUAGAGUAGAUCUAGAUAGUAGCGAGAUGGAGAGCGAAGGAGGAUUAGAGGAGAGGCCGGCCUGUUGGUUCUUCCUCCGGUUGUACUUCGUCAUGAUCAAGCUCUAAUCAAGCUUGCUCAUGGGAUGACUCUAGUAAUCUACUUCUAAUUCAUUAUGCAAUUACUAAUCAUGUAUGUUCUGGUUCACAACUCUUUUGAGUACUUCUAAUCUAUAGGACCCUAUAGGUUAGAGUUGUAGUAUUGGUGUAAGUGUCGUGCUUAGAUCUAGAUUACUUGUGGAUAUCCCCUGUCUAGCUGGAUCGUGUGGUAGGCCGCGUAGGUGACAGUUACGUUGGUCCCCUGUAGUCCACCUCUUGUUAGCAGGACGGGUAGGGUUUAUCGGCCUAUGGAUAAGCAUCCUUUGUGGUGUAUUCUUAUCACGUGGUUCGUCCCAGACAUAGACAUACCCCUUUGAAGUAGAGAAACCAUAGUUAUCCUCUCUAUUCUGCUACCAUCGCCCAUAUAUUAGAUUGCUCUACUCUCUAUUCCCAUAUUACCACUCAUUGUUAUCUUACCUUUAAUAUUGUUCUUAUUCAAUUCUACUAUCUUUCCUAUUUACACCUAUUUAUUUAUCUUGGUUAAGUUAGAGCGUAGAUCAGUUCUCCCAUUUCCCUGUGGAUACGAUAAAACCUUUAAUCGGGUAAAAGCUACAGCGGUACCCGUGUGCUUGCGGAUUAUCUGUGUGCGUAUAAAUACCAUAGUACACUCUAGUGCCAUGCUGGGGAUGACAACCUAUUAUUCGAGUGGUGUUAGCAAGUGUCAACAGACUACAACCUUAAUCUCAUUCUAACCAUGGUAAGGAUGAUCUACUGUUCUGUUGGGGAGGCUCACGGAAUCUAGACACCACAGAGGAUGUUCGACCCGCACCUAUAAACCCUAUCGAUCAUACUAAUGGGAUAUGGGCUACAAAGGUAACUUGGAAAUGUCACGUUCCUCGCUACUACCAUGGUCCAGCUAGUCAGGGGAUAUCUAUUAGUAUCCUAGCCCAAACACCACGUUUACGCUAGAGAUGAUUACUCUAAACUCUACGCGAAGAGAUCAAAGUAAACUCAUAAACCAAAGAACAAUAAAACAAGAACUUACUAGAAUUUAGAAGUCGAAAUACUGAAGAAUCCUAGGAGCAAGCCUCGGGUUAGGAGACUUGAUCCCGCAGGUACAACCUCGGAGUAGACACCGACAGGCCGGGCUUCCUCCGAUCUACACCUCCACUCUAUAAUGAACUUGUUCUCCUCUAGGGGCCAGGGGGUCUGCUUAUAUAGUCCCCUUAGGUGAACGUGGGCCGUUAGAUCAAACUGACAUUGAUUGCACGGUUAUUCUUGAUCCUUUAUGUCGGUGGAGCAUAAUCCGUGAGAUUGAACGUGAUUGGCCACAACACCUGGGCGGGCGCCCUGCCCCCGGGCCCGGUCGGCCUCCCGUUCGUUUCUGUGGCUUCUGGACUCUUCUAGAUGAUAGAAAAUUGCGCGGCACGUUAAUAUCUCUAUGUAAACCCGACAUGUGGGCCUUCCUCUAUAUUUCCUGAUAUCCCCCUGCAGAAAUAGACAAACACCAAAACUUGUGGAAUUCUAUCAGAUAAAACCCUAAGUUUGGGUGUUGGUUGCAUUUGGAUCCUUUUCUUUAUUUAUUGGAUGAUUAUAUUUGGUACUUAAGGACCAUCAACAACUCCCCCAAGCGUACCUCUUGCUCGUCCCUGAGCAAGGAUGGACUCAAGAGUUUCAGCAGUGGUUUCAUGCCUUAAAAGUACACACGCGUUCAAGCAAGAUCUCAUCUCUGAGUUAGAGUAAACUGUUAAGACUUAAAACUUACUCAUUUUACCUUUCACCAUGGGGCUUGCAACUGUCACUUGUGUCUUGAGCAGUUAAAAGAUAGAACAGUCUAGUCAAGUGCUAUGUCUCUUGUUCUUUGAUCAGCUAUAGCUCUGGAGUUUUUGAGGAUUUUCAAAUAAAACUCGGAGAUUCCUUGUAUGACUCUCUAAUCUAUCUUUUGUGGUAUUUCUGGAUCCUUUCCAAGGCAGUAAUGGUAUAUGCCUUCUCUCAAAGUAUGUGGUAUUUUUGGUAUGAGGCAUAGUGAUAUUGCCUUCUCUCUCACCCUACUCUAAUAAGGUUUUGAUAUUUGGAGCUCAUAGGUGGGAGACAGAUAAUACAUACUUACAAGACAUUUAUUGCAUAGUCAAAACAUGGAUCCAGAGAAACAAGUCAAUAAGUCAAAUCAAGAUGUGCAUGUGUGGCGAGUGAAUGGUGUAUGGUGAUAAGAAUGGUGAAAGUCUAAUUCUACUUUUGCUCUUUUGAGGGGAUACAUACCUUUCUUGCACUUUGAAGCUGUUUGAGGAGAAUGAGAUGCUCUAUAUUUUCUUUUUCUUUUCUCUCAGGUGGGUAUCUUGUACCCCUAAUUCUACUGUCGGACACUUGUCCAUUUUUACCUCUCGUCUCACUUUUUCUUUUCUUCGAGGUUCCGGGCACUUGCCCCUUUUUAUUUCCUCGUAUUCUUUCUCUCUCUUUUUUUUCUUUUCUCUUUUUUUACUAGAGCACUCAUCUCCUGAAAUAAUAUAGCAAGUGGUAGUAACCAAGAUAACUCGAGCAUUUAUUUCGUAGGGAAAACAGAAAUAGGAGAAUGUUUUUGGCUAUUCUCUCCCGGAUUAGGAGUAGAAUACUUUUGGGUGGCUCUGGAGAUGGAAAUGAGUGGAUAUAUGUGGAUGCAUACUUCCGGAGUAAAAGUAGCAUGUAUGAGUGAACGUGCAAGUGAAUCUUGAUUUUAACCGCCUGACAAGCUCCUAAGGGUCUACACAGCUUGACCACACUCAAUGCUCAUAAGCAGUAAAAAGUAAAUGUGUGGCUCAGAGUCUAGCAAGCAUGUAUAUAUGGCUGUGGUAGGAAUUUAAACUAUCAUCAUACAGGAACUCAUCAUGUGUUAUUUUAAAGAUUUUCAAAGAUAAAAUUCUCCAGAAUUCUAGCAUCUCUAGGAACAGAUAAACAGUAGCUCAACCUUCCCGUAUCGUAUCCGUUAACGACUUAGACUUUUGAUCAAGUAUUCUUCCCACAAGUUCAGGUUUAGAGCAAAUCUUAAUUCAUAACAGUCAUGCCUAAACUCGAGAGAGAUUUCAAUUUUGAGAACUAGUCAUGGCAGAGUAGCUAUUCAUCAUUUCCAUGUGAAAGCUUAUCAUGAGAGUUCAUAGCAAACUUUAUUUAUUUAUUUAUUUAGCAAACAACACAAAAUCUUUAUUUGGGUUUUUAUGAUUAUGCAUCUUUUUAUUAUUUGAGUAAAGUAUAAACAUGAGUAGAACACUUAGCUAGAUAAAUGGGGGUGCUCUCCCCCAAGCUGGAUUUUGACGUAAUUUCUUCUGACGUAAUUUCUUCCUCCUAAUAAAUGCUACUCUCUUUAGUAGGAUCAUAAAUUUAUUUUUUUUUAUUUUUAUAGGAUAGGAAUAUAUUUAUUUUAUUUUUAUGCCACCACAGUGAAUGUACUUAUGGGUUUUAUGCCAUGAGCAUACUCACAUGGGGCUUACUAUUUUUAACAUUUUUAUUUUCUUUUCGAGAUGAUAUUAACCUGAUUAACUAAGCAAACAAUUUUAAAUAAUUGAAGGGAAAAGGAUAACUACCAAGUUUACCUCUUGGCAAGGCGUUCAGUGUUUUUAAGUCCUCCAAACGGGACUCUCCGUUUUCUCAGUCGUCCUGGGAUUUGCUGGAUGGCGUAGUCGGUGGUUCCGGCGGCACCUCCUCUUUGUGUAUAACUAUCUUUUCUCUCCACACCUGACUCGGUGCUACGGUCUCCUCUGGGCAAUCCUGUUCAAGAUGUAUAUCUUUGGACCUUAUUACAUCUCCUUUGUAGUCUGCCCAUCCGUCCUUGAUGAUUUGCCUCCUCUAGUUUCGGUUGCGUCGCCUUCUUCUUAGAGGGGAAGUGCAUGUGGACUUCUUCGGUUCCAAUAUAGAUGAUGGCUUUGAUAGUGUUGAGGAACGGUCUUCCAAGGAUGAUGGGUGGAUCGUACUCGUCUUCUCCCAUGCCAAUGACCUGAAAAUCAUUUGGAGCUGAAUGUAUGUUGGUUGUAGGGGCAUGGUUCCAUGCAGGAGUUGAUAAGUGACUACGGCCAUUAUAUUAACGUCAGAUCCGGUGUCGUAGAGUGGCUUCUGAAAAGAGUAUCCGUUGAUUGUGCACUCGAUGCUUGGAACACCAGGGUCGUCCUUCUUGAUCAAGAAAGGCGACUUGAGUCGACGAUAUUGACCUUCUUGAGCUGCAGUGACCAUCUUAGCUAACUCAGUCCACAUUUACUUGUUCCUGUUCCUCCUGUUGGUCCUCUCCCUUUGUUCAUGUCGGGAUUGCUCUGAAAUUUGUGUAGUCUUAUUCUUGAAGGAAAGUCUCCUUCUUCCCCUUGAUGUAGAAACUAAUCUUGGCAGCACUAGCGUAGAUGACAACUCUCGAGGUGUUCAGGAAUGGCCUCCCUAGGAUGAUCGGUGCCCUCUCUUUAGUACCAGUCUCUAUCACCAUGAAGUCUGCUGGAGCAUACAAGGUACCAACUCGGACGCAAAGGUUCUUCAAUAUUUCCUUUGGGAAACUGAGUGUCCGAUCUGCAAGCUGAGUAGUUAGGCCUCUAUUGAUUUCAACCCUGAUUUUGUUGAGGACGGUUGUAGUAGUAGUAGUUGUUGUUGAUGUAAUUUACGUCCUCAAGCAUCUCAGGGCAGUGAUUGCCUGAGUGUCCAGUAUCUCCAGUGUGUUUGUGCUCGUAGAUCUAGGUCCUUCACUUGGAAGAAUCUGGGAGUUGUAAAACUCCUUUAGGUUUUGCUCGAAGUCUACCUGCUCAUAAAGACAAGGCAGAGAUCAAGUGCAUGGGCCAUGUUGGUGAAAAACACCAACAGAACCAAAAGUGUAUUUGUUCUUCUCUAACCUUAAGCAUAGAGAGCAAGACAAAGUUGAUGGAUAAUAAGAUCAUGAGUGUAGCAUUUGAAACAUUUGUUAGAUCAGAUGGCUCAACCUAAUGGAAAGAUAAUCUAUCUCUAUUUAUGUUUUGUUUAUAUCUUCCAAAGAUUGAAUGUGCACAUUUUAGCUUAUAUGGUUAGGAGUGUGGGAUCACGAAUGUAGUACUAAGAACAAAGAUUAAAGGACUAAACAUGUUGAAUUAAUUGGGUUGGUUAAUUUGGAGUUACAAAUCAUACAUGUUUGUCUCUUUUAUUCAUGUGAAUGCCAGAACCAAGGAGAAGCUUAUAAAAGUGAUAGUCAAGUACCUUAAGAUGUUACCUUACUUGAAGAGUGAUGGUACAGUAUCACCUUGUGGAAGCUUUCCUUUCUUAGCGGUUGUGCAUCGUGUUUGUGGCACCUUCCAUGCAUCAUCUCUUAUGAGCUAUGUCUUCCUUGUGUAAAUUGUUAAACUUCAAGUGUCUCUCUCUUUGUCUCCAAUAUGAGUUUAUCUUAGGACUUCCCAGGUCAAUAUUGAAAGUUUUCCUGCAGGGGUUAGUCCAACAAAAUAUCCCCUAUCUACUAUAGAAUACUAUCGGCUCAAAAAUCAACCUAGACACCAUGUCUAAUUUGAUUUAGGAGGGUGUUUUAACCUAAGCACCAUGCUUAAUUUAAAAACCCUUGGAAGUAAGAUCAUCAUUCCUAAACUAAGCACCAUGCUUAAUUAAGAGAUAAAUGAAACUACUCCAAACCUCGACAUAUACUAAAGCAAAUAAAGGUAGCAUGAGAGCAUUAUUAGAGAUCUACUCAAGUGGAGAUGAAGUAGUGUGAUUAGUAUUUAACAAAUUGAGCAUGUCUCAAAGGUAGGCACAACCAACAUAGCAACAUGGCAAAGGAUUUUUUUAUGUAAAGUACUCCCCCAAGCUUGAAUUUUGCAAGAUUCAAGUUUGGAUGAAUUUAAUUCAAAGUUGUAUGAUGGUUGGUUGAACAUAUGUAUGGUCCAAAUGGCUGGAGGGGGGUGAAUAGCCUAUUUAAAAUUUCUACAAACUUCACUAAGCAAGAGAGUUAGUGAAACAAAUGGCGAAGCAAUUCUAGCACUAGCUCAACUAAGCUAUGCAAGCCACCUAUACAAACUAGUACAAGGCUAAACACUAAAGCACAACAACAAGAGAAGGUUAGCUACACUCCUAAACAAGAAGAUACAACUAAACAAGGUAAACAAGUAAGUAAAGGAGUGGAGAGUGAUUGUUAUACCAACGUUGUAGAGUAGAGAUAUAUCCAACCAAUCACUCACAAUCACAAUCACAAUAGAUGAACCUUGGCAAGAGAUGACACAAGAUUUUUUACCGAGGUUCACUUGCUUCCCGACAAGCUAUUCCUCGUUGUGGCGAUACACCCACUUGAUGGAUCACGAGCUAAUUGGCAAUCCAAAGCCAAACCCUCAGCGGGUGCCGCACAUCCACUCACAAGAUGGGGCUCCUCCAAGCCACGAGCAAUCCACUAGAGUAGCCAAUUGCGAUCUCUCACGGGGAAGGCUCAAGAACCCCUCACAAAUCACUUGGUGUGGCUCAAAACAAUCUCCAAUUAUGAGCUCAACACCACCGCUGCUCCAAGCCAUCUAGGGCAUCGGGAAACACCCAAGAGUAACAAGAAAUCCGCAGCAAACUCAAGAAUCAAGUGCCACUAAAUGCAACUCUCAAAGCAAUACACUUGAAUCUCACUCAAUCUCACUAGGAUUAGCAAUCAAGCAAGGAGAAGAGUGGAGUGAGUGUUCUCUAGCUCAAUGUAUGCCUCAAGUAUUCAAAUGUGCAAGAGAGAGCCUCCCAAAGCCGGCCACCUUCUAUUUAUAAGCCCCUCAAAGAAACUAGUCGUUGGCAGUUUUCACUGGGCUGAAAACGGGGGCACCAGACGCUACUAAGUGAGCACCGGACGCUCUCUACGUCCGGUGCAUUGGAGUUGGCCACGUGUCCGUCCUGAAUCUCGCAUGUCAGAUCCUAACGGUCACCUGCGGAUCCCCGAACGCUCUAUAGGUCCACACUAGAUGCGUCCGGUGCACACCGGACUCAUGCGCAGAGAGUUCCGCAAACCUGCCGGUCACCGGACGCUAAGCACCAGUAGCGUCCGGUGCUCACCGGACCCAUGCGCAGAGAGGGUCGCAAAACGCCCGCACUCCGGACGCUAACCACCUGACGCUCUCAGAGUGCAUCCGGUGCUCAACCCUAGCAUGGUGAAGCACACCGGACUCUGACGCUAGUGUCCGGUGCCUCCGUACUCAGCAUCCGGUGAGUGUUUCUCAGUGAGAAAACACUCCCGCGACUUCUCCAAAAUUCCCACCGGCGCAAUAGAAAAUAUACAUUUAUUUUUCUCAAAAGCGCCGAAUCCCGCCGAGCUUGCUCGGUGGGAGGGAGAGAGGAACCCAAACCCCUCUCAACCCUAGGAACUCCACCUCCUUUGCAAAAGUGCUAACACCAACAAGUGUCCACAACCAAAGUGCAUGUGUGUUAGCUUUUCACAAACAUUUUCCCAAAGAAGUUUAGUUAGCACUUUACUAGAUGCUAAUGCAUAUGCUCAAGAUGUAGGCCUAGUAGCACUUGAUUCGACAGAUGACCGUGAUUUCCCCUCUUGAUAGUCAGCUAUCUAUCCUAAACCCGGUCAAUCACUUCUCUACUCAUCUUAGACCGGCAAAAGUAAAACCCUAUGUUUAUACCUUUGCCUUGAUCACUUUGCUCCUCGUCUAUCACCAUGAUCUUUACUUCAUGCUUCAUCCCUUUGUGAUCAUGUGGCCACCUUUCCAUGCCACCAUGUACCUUCAUCACAUGUGUUGCUAUGCCUAACUCAAAUCACUUAAACACGAGGCAUUAGCAACUUGGUGUCAUUAAUUAACAAAACCAAAUUUGGGCUUUUAAUCUCCCCCUUUUUGGUAAUUGAUGUCAACCAUCACAAAGAUAUGAAAUGAAAUCAUAAUGAAGUUGAAUUGCUUGUCCAAAGCAUUUUAAUCAUGAGACAAGGUUGGACAAACAUUUCAAUUUUGGUUUUGGUAGUACUAGCUCCCCCUACAUAUGUGCUUCCAUGAGUUUGGUUCAAGUUUGCACAUAUGCAUAAAUUGGAAUUUUUGGGAGAUUUAUUACUACCAAAAUGAUGCUAAGGUAUAUAGAAUGGACCUUUGAAGCGUGAUACCAAUCGGAGUUGCCAAUAUACCAUCCUUAGCACCAAUGUAGCUAGACAUACAUUAAAAACUCAAGAUACCUCGUGAGAUCACAUUAUAUGUCUAGAUACCACAUAUAAAUAAAACAUUAUGCUAGAAUUCAAAGCAUCAUUCAAGUUCUAUUUCUAGCAAGCACCAAUCAAACAAGAGUUAUGAAUUUAAACUUGCAAUGCAACACAACAUUAUGUUUAGUGCACAUUCAAAUGCAAUAAAUGGUUCAUGAGCUUGCUCCCCCUAUUUGUGUGCUCAAGUUUUAAUUUAUCCAUUUCAAUUUUUUUAGAAGUCAUCUCUCUCCCUUAAGCACUUUUCUCCCCCUUUAUGACUUUAUCUUUGUUUCUCUCCCCCUUUGUCAUCAAUGGCCACAAAGGUUCAAAUUUUAGUGAGAAUUAAGUCAAUCAAUGUGAGGGUCAAAUUAUGGUUCAAUCUAGAUCACUUGCCUAAAACAUGUAAUUUGGUUUGAUCCAAGGACAAGCUUUUUCACACCUCAAAAAGUAUAAGGGUUAUCUUGACCAUAUUGAAUUACACAUCAUAAGCUCAUAUUCUAGAUUCAACACUAGGCUUGCAAGCUCACAAACAUGUCAUAUGCUACCACUAGAUCAAACAACCAUAGAAACAAUAGUGGUACCAUACAUACAUCAAAUUCUUUUGAUUUUCAUGAAUGAGCCUAUUGUCAUGCAAACAUGUCUAUAUGUUCUAAUCAUGUGCUUAGCAAAGUAUGAAUGCUAUGUCAACCAUCGUUACCUUGCUUUGUUGGAGGAGAGGCAUGGCAUAUAGAAAUGUGGGGGUGCACUCAUCUCAAGUUGGAGAAGUCAAGUAUGCUCAAUUCAUUUCUCAACUUGCAAAAUCUCUUCUCAUCAAGUGGCUUUGUAAAGAUGUCGGCUAGUUGAUCUUCGGUGCCAAUGCUUUCAAUGCUAAUGUCACCCUUUUGUUGAUGGUCUCUUAUGAAAUGGUGCCUUAUGUCAAUGUGCUUGGUUCCUGAAUGUUGAAUCGAACUUUGUGUCAUCUUGAUUGCACUCUCAUUGUCACAUAGCAAAGGCACAUUCUUGAAUUUGAUUCCAAAGUCAUUCAAGGUAGCUUUCAUCAAAAGCAAUUGUGCACAACAACUACCAGCACUGAUGUAUCCGGCCUCGGCCGUUGAUAGUGCAACACUAUUUUGUUUCUUUGAUGACCAUGAAACUAGAGACCUUCCUAGCAAUUGACAAGUGCCACUUGUGCUCAUUCUAUCAAUCUUGCAUCCACCAUAGUCGCAGUCCGAAUAUCCAAUCAACUCAAAGUUAGACCCCUUGGGAUACCAUAAUCCAACAUCAUGAGUGCCCUUUAGAUACCUCAAUAUUCUUUUAGUUGCCUUCAAGUGACUUUCUCUAGGUGAAGCUUGGUAUCUUGCACAUUUGCACACACUAAACAUCACAUCCGACCUUGAUACGAUGACAUAGAGCAAACUUCCAAUCAUGGACCGAUAUAGCUUUUGAUCUACCAUGUUGCCACUUGCAUCACUACCUAAUUGAUCAUUUGUGCCCACAGGUGUGCUCAUUUGUUUAGCUUCUUGCAACCCGAACUUCUUGAUCAUGUCCUUGAUGUACUUGGCUUGACUUAUAAAAGUGCCAUCCUUCAUUUGCUUGAUUUGAUGACCAAUGAAGUAACUAAGCUCUCCAAUCAUGGACAUCUCAAACUCAUUUGCCAUCAUUCUUCCAAACUCUUCACAAAAGUCAUGAUUGGUUGAUCCAAAGAUGAUAUCAUCAACAUAGAUUUGCAACACAAACAAGUCCUUGCCUAGCUUCUUGGUGAAGAGGGUAGUGUCAACCUUUCCCAUCUUGAACCCUUUAGAGAGAAGAAAAUCUCUCAAUCUCUCAUACCAUUCUCUAGGUGCUUGCUUUAAACCAUAAAAUGCCUUCUUGAGCUUGAAAACAUGGUUGGGUUUCUUGUCAUCUUCAAAACCGAGAGGUUGUUCAACAUAAACCAACUCAUUGAUGUAUCCAUUGAGAAAUGCACUCUUCACAUCCAUUUGAUAUAGCUUGAUGUUGUGGGCACAAGCAUAUGCUAAAAAUAUUCUAAUUGCCUCCAAUCUUGCAACCAGUGCAUAUGUUUCUCCAAAGUCAAGACCUUCAACUUGAGUGUAGCCUUGUGCUACUAAUCUUGCUUUGUUUCUCACAACUACACCAUCUUGAUCUUGCUUGUUUCUAAGGACCCACUUGGUACCAAUCACAUUGUAGUUAUUUGGCCUCUCAACAAGCUCCCACACUUGAUUUCUUGUGAAGUUGUUCAAUUCUUCAUGCACGGCAUUUACCCAAUCGGAAUCUUUCAAUGCAUCUUCUAUCUUCUUAGGUUCCUCAAAUGAGACAAAUGAGUAGUGCUCACAAAAGGUUGCUAGCCUUGAUCUUGUUUGAACACCACUUUGAAUACCACCGAUGACUUGAUCUAAUGGAUGAUCCCUUGCUAUGCUAGUAGGUUGGAGUAUUAGGAGUUGAUUGCUUCCACUUGCUUGAUUUUGAUUUUGAUAAUCAACAUGAGAGCCACUAGUACUUGCUUGAUUUGUAUCAAUUUGCACUUCUUGAUUGAUCAUGUGAAUGUCAUUGUCAUCAUCAACUUGCAUCGGCCUUAUGUCACCAACAUCCAUGUUUUUCAUUGCAUUAGCCAAUUGAUCUCCUCUCACAUCAUCAAGAUUUUGAGCUUCAGUUGAGAUCCCUCGUUUCUCAACUCUACAUCAUGACUUCUUCCAAUGUGCCACUUGCCAAGUUCCAACUCUAUAUGCCUUGCUUGUGGUGGAAUAACAAAGUAAGAACCCUUCAUCACAUUUCUUCUCAAACUUGCUCAAUCUAGUGCCUUUCUUGAGAAUGUAGCAUUUGCAACCAAACACUCUAAAGUAUGCAAUGUUGGGCUUUCUUCCAUUUAAUAGCUCAUAUGGUGUCUUCCCAAGCUUCCCAUGGCAAUAGAGACGGUCGCUACAAUAGCAAGCAAUGUUGAUAGCUUCACUCCAAAAUGAAUGGGUAACAUUGUAUUCACUAAGCAUUGAUCUAGCCAUAUCAAGCAAGGUUCUAUUCUUCCUUUCAACUACACAAUUGAAUUGAGAAGUGUAUGUUGGAGAGAAUUGAUGUCUAAUGUCAAGAUCAUCACACAAUUCAUCAAUACUUGUGUUCUUGAAUUCACUACCAUUGUCACUUCUAAUCUUCUUGAUAUUGGUUUUAAACUCAUUUUGCAUCCUCUUGACAAAAGACUUGAAUAGAUCACAAACAUCACUCUUGUCACAGAGGAAGAACACCCAAGUGUAUCUAGUGUAGUCAUCUACUAUCACAAAUCCAUAAUUGUUGCCCAAAUAAAUCCAUGUGCAAUAGCUCAAAUGCCUUUGAUGUGCUCAUUUCACUUUUAUUAGGAUGUGCAUUUCCAACUUGCUUUCCGGCUUGACAAGCACUACAUGGUUUAUCCUUCUCAAAUGUGACAUCCUUCAAGCCUCUAACUAUGUCAUGCCUCAAAAGUUUGUUCAAUUGUUUCAUUCCAACAUGACCAAGCUUUCUAUGCCACAACCAACCCAAACUUGAUUUGUUAAUUAGGCAUGAUGUCAAUUGAGUGUCACUAUCAUUGAAAUCAACCAAGUAUAAGCUACCAUGCCUAAAUCCUUUGAAUAUCAAGUUUGAUCCAUCAACACUAAUCACCUCAACAUCAUCACUACCAAAGAUGCACUUGAAACCAAGGUCACAAAGUUGUGCAAUUGACAAGAGAUUGAAAUCAAGGCUUUCAACUAGCAACACAUUUGAUAUACUCAUGUCAUUUGAGAUAGCAAUUUUACCAAGUCCCUUGACCUUGCCUUUCUUGUUGUUGCCGAAGGUGAUUGAAUCAAAGCCACCAUUUAGACUAGUAUCAAACGACUUGAACAUACAAGACUCUCCGGUCAUAUAUUGAGUGCACCCACUAUCAAGCACCCAAUGCCUUCCUCCGGCUUUGUAAUUGACCUACAAGACAAGAUCAAUUCUUUUUAGGUACCCAAACUUGAUUGGGUCCUCCAAGGUUAGCAACUAAGCUCUUUGGUACCCAAAUGGCUUUCUUCUUUGAGCCCAUCCAUGGUGCACCAAUGAACUUAGCAUGAACACAUUUUGUAUCCUUGGUAAGCACAUAGAAAGAAUUAAGCUUAAUUGAGGAUACAUGAGCUUUGGGUUUCUUGUUCACGCAUUGUUGCUCUAAGUGACCGACUUGCUUGCAAGAUUUGCAAUACCGGCCAUUGUUCUUCACAAAACUAGUCUUGUGAGGAGCAAAAGCGGCCUUGGCUUUCUUGGGGUUAUAGCCUAAUCCCUCUUUAUAGAGAGAAGCUCGUUGGCUACCCAAGCACAUAAGCAAGCGGUCCUCACCACCAUAAGCCUUGGCUAAGGUGUGAUUGAGCUCCUUCACCUUCUUUUUGAGAAUUUCAUUCUCAACUUUUAGUGUGGUUUCACAUGUGAAACCAUCACUACUCGAUGAGGAUGAUGUAUAUGUGCUACAUGAGCGGUUAGUAGAAGAAACAACAAUAGGCUGACUUAAGAUAUCACAUGUUAGGCCUAUGUUGCAAGUUUUAGCUUUCACCAUUUUAGUAGGCUCAUUUUCACACUUGUUAACUAGAGAGGAAUGAGCUUCUUUAAGCUUAGUGUGAGCCUUUUGAAGCUUCUUAUGGUCUUCCUUUAGACUCUCAUAAGAUGCUCUAAGCUCAUCAAGUUCUUGCUCAAGGGUUUUCUUAUCCAUGAGCAAGGCCUUGCACUCCUUUCUAGUUUCUUUAUAGUGAUGAGUGCAAUCCUCUAGCAUAGUGAUUAGUUCAUCUUUAGUUGGUUCAUCAUCACUAUCACUAUCACUAUCACUAUCACUAUCACUAUUAAUAUCACUAGCAUGGUCACUCUCAUCAUCGGAUGAUACCUUAGUGGCCUUAGCCAUGAAGCAUGAUGGAGUGUCGAAGAUGGAGCUUUUUCCUUGAAUGGCAAUGCUAGCAUGCACCUUCUUCUUAGUCCUCUCCUCAUCACUUGAGGAGUCAUCACUAUCCCAAGUUGCAACAUGGGCAUCACCCUUCUUCUUGUUUGAGCCUUCCUUCUUUUCUUGCUUCUUCUUUUGCUUCUUUCUUUCUUUCCUUCUUGAUAGCAUCUUCAUCAUCACUAUCAUAAGGACACUUGGUGAUGAGAUGAUUCUUGCUAUGGCAUCUAAAGAACCUCAUGGAAUGGUCAUUCUUCUUUGAGGAGCUCUUCUUCCUUCUUGCCCGAUAGCCUUUCUUUUUCAUAAACUUGCCAAAUCUCUUGACAAGAAGAGCCAUCUCCUCAUCUUCAUCACUAUCACAAGAGCUUGCUUCUUCUUCACUUGAUGACUCUAUCUUGGCUUUGCCCUUGGAUGAGGAGGCCUUGAAUGCCACACUUUUCUUCUUCUCAUCAUCUUUCUUCUCACCAUCCUUCUUCUUCUUCUUCUUCUUGAUCAACUCAUCCUUCUCAUCAUGUUCCCUAUAAGCAUCAUCGGUCAUCACCUCUUGGAAGACUUGUUGAGGAGUUGAAUCACUAAGUGUUGUCUUGACUAGCACGGUGAUCAAUGUGUCAAAUCUCUUGGGCAAGCUUCUCAAGAACUUCAUAGAAAAUUGACUAUCUUUUACUUCUUCCCCAAGUUCCUUGAGUUCAUUCACAAUGACUUGCAACCGGUGAAACAUCUCUGGCACACUUUCAUCUUCUUGCAUCUUGAAGCUUGAGAACUUUUCUUGGAGGAUGUAAGCUUUGGCGGUCUUGGUACCUUUGGUGCCUUCAAAUGUUUCUUCUAAUUUUGCCCAUGCAUCAUGAGCAACCUCAAUGUUCUUGAUUUGCUCAAAAGUCUUGUCAUCAAGAGCUUCAUGAAGAGCACUAAUUGCGAUGUCAUUGCAUUGAAGCUUCUUUUCUUCAACCGGUGUUGGUGCAUUUUCAUUUGCAACCUCAAACUUUGUUUCGGUCACCUUUCAAACAUCUCUAUUGAUUGACUUGAGAUGGGCGGUCAUCUUGACCUUCCAAUAAGCAUAAUUUGUGCCAUCAAAGUAAGGUGCCUUCUUAGUGUUGUUGAUAUGCAAACUAAGAGCCAUUUUUUCACCGUAGGUUGUUAAGCCUCAAAUAAACGGUGCCUCGGCUCUGAUACCACUUGUAAGGACCAAAUGGCCAGAGGUAGAGUGUAGAGUGAUUGUUAUACCAAUGUUGUAGAGUAGAGAUAUAUCCAACCAAUCACUCACAAUCACAAUCACAAUAGAUAAACCUCGGCAAGAGAUGACACAAGAUUUUAUACCGAGGUUCACUUGCUUCUCGCCAAGCUACUCCUCGUUGUGGCGAUACACCCACUUGAUGGAUCACGAGCUAAUUGGCAAUCAAAAGCCAAACCCUCAGCGGGUGCCACACAUCCACUCACAAGAUAGGGAUCCUCCAAGCCACGAGCAAUCCAGUAGAGUAGCCAAUUGCGAUCUCUCGCGGGGAAGGCCCAAGAACCCCUCACAAAUCACUUGGUGAGGCUCGAAACAAUCUCCAAUUACGAGCUCAACACCACCGCUGCUCCAAGAAUCUAGGGAAACGAGAAACACCCAAGAGUAACAAGAAAUCUGCAGCAAACUCAAGAAUAAAGUGCCACUAAAUGCAACUCUCAAAGCAAUGCACUUGAAUCUCACUCAAUCUCACUAGGAUUAGCAAUCAAGCAAGGAGAAGAGUGGAUGGAGUGUUCUCUAGCCCAAUGUAUGCCUCAAGUAUUCAAAUGUGCAAGAGAGAGCCUCCCAAAGUCGGCCAUCUUCUAUUUAUAAGCCCCUCAAAGAAACUGGUCGUUGGCUGUUUUCACUGGGCUGAAAACGGUGGCACCGGACGCUACUAAGUGAGCACCGAACGCUCGACUCUCUGCGUCCGGUGCACUGGAGUUGGCCACGUGUCCAUCUUGAUCUCGCGUGUCAGAUCCUAAUGGUCACCUACGGAUCUGAAAAUUUGCAACUUUUGAAAUAGGUGAAAAAUGAUUUAAUUUUGUAUUUUUGUGCUAAUCAAACAUAGGGAAAAUAAUAUUUGUCAUUAAAAUAAAACUUAUUAUAGAAUUUAGUAACAUGUAUGUGCACUCAUGCUGGAGCAUUUAUAUUUUUGUACUGUGUGACUUUGAGCAAAGUUGAAAAUUGUUUCAAAAUGAUUUGAAAAUGGUUUGGAAAUAAAAAAAAUAAAAAAACAAAACCCUUUCCCCUCUCUAAUUCUAGCCCAACCGGCUUCCCCUUCUUCCCCCCCCCCCCCCCCCCGCGGCCCACUCUUCUCCCUCGGCCCAAUGGCCAGCCCAGCAGAGCAGCAGCCGCGCUCAGCCCACCCUGCCCCGCGCCUUUCUCCGUCUCUCUUUGGCUGGCGAGCAGGCCCCACCCCUUCUUUCACCGCCAGCCGGGUCCCACGCGACAGAUCUUCCCCAUCUCCUCCUACCUUCGUUACGAGACGGAGCCGAGCCGGACUCCGGUUCCUCUUUCCCUGCGUGGAGCCAACCGAAAUCUUUCAAUCCCGAAAACCUCGGAGUUUCCUGCUAUAACUUGUCCUAUAAAAAUUCUAGCGUCACGCCGCACAUUUUCCCUUCUAUGCCGUAAAAACCGAACCCUAGGCGCCCUAUUUGAGCUCGGUUGGAUCUCACCGAGCGAAACACCUUUCCCAACACGGCGCGAGCUCCCUGCUGCCUUCCGACCCGAGCUUAGUGCCUUGGUGAAUUCGCCUUCUCCUCCUCUGCGCGCCCAUGGUCUCGCUUUUCGUUUUGGUGCUCGGAAUCAGGAGGUUGGCGAGCUCCGAUGAGCUCCGCGGCGACGCUCAUGGUGAACCACCGCGCCGGAGCUCUCCCUGGUGGCCGGCCGGCCGGGCACAGCCCUGGGUGGGACGCGAGCCGUCAAAACUCCGAUCAACGCACGAGAUUAGAACGUAACCCUUCGGCCUGCAAUUUUCUUAAAGAGUCCCUAGAGAAUUUCGUUAUCCAACCCGCAGUCCCUUGGCGCCCAUGAGAAAUCCGUUUAUUAUCCUAGAAAACGUAAACAGAUCUGCUUGAGUCAGAAAUACGCUUUCUGCUAUUUACAGAUUUGCCACUGUGAGUAAUUUGCUCAUAAGAUGUUCGUUUUAACUCCGUUUUUGUCCAUUCAAAUUUUGUUAGAUUCGUAUUUAUGAGCUCUACAUUCUAGAAGUAUUAGUUCACUGUUUUGAAACUUUCAAAUUUCACAGUAGCAUUUAAUUAGUUAUCUAUCUAUAGGAAAUCUUAGAAAAAUCAUAACUUCUGCGUUUUAACUCCGAUUUUCGUCAACCUUACGUUUGUGUGAUCGUAGCGCUGCAUAGAUUAUUUUUAUAAACUUUUAUCUUUGAUUUCCCACUGUUUGGUGUAUUGUUCUAAUUAUAGCUUGUUUGCUUAGUGUAUGAUUGUCUACAUUGGAUUGCGUGUUGUUGAUUGAUGAUCGAGUUUAGUCGGUGAGCUUUACGUUGGUGAUCAAGGUCAAGCUUUUGACGACCAGCAGCAGGCUCAGGAGAGCUUUGAUCAAGGCAAGUAUAACUGGGGAUCAUUCUUGUUACCCAUACACCAUUAAUACAAUAUUUAUCAUUUGCAUGUGUCCACCUUGAUGACCUUAGCAAAAUCAUAGAUGAUUGUUAUCCUAAAUUCCUUGUUACCUAUUUUGGAUAUGCAUUUGGGUAGUUCUUGCUAGUGCUUGAAUAUAAUCCAUGAUCUUGUAAGAUGAAUGUUUGGAUAUACAAUAAACAAUAAAAUAAGCUUUCUAGCAACUUGAAUAUAAAGGGUGGAAAGAACUCUAGCUUUUGCUAGAUUGAUCUUGACCCUCCAUAAGGACUUAUCCCUUGGCAAAAGCUAGGACAACUCGUACAACCAUGAGGGCUAUAUGGCUCUGGCUUUAGUCAAGUAUGAGUAAGCUUUUCUAGCUUGUUAGCGGUUACCCGAAAGGGUGCUAGAGGGGCUGAACCGUUUUGGGUAUAGUGUGAGCCCAUGUCCUUAUGUGUAUAGGCUAUGCGUCAUUGUGCCAUUUGGAAGGGGGGUAUCUAUAUCUGCGCGCAAACGAAACCUUGCGGCCCUAACUGGUUAGAUGAACCUUUAAAAGACUUCAUAGUGAUCCCUGCCGAACUCCCUUAGAAGGGGGUUAAGAGACUCAUGACCUCGGGCGAAAGGGUAAAUCAUGACUCAUGGGUAAAGAUGUACAACCUCUGCAGAGUGUUAAUCUGGUAUACUAGCCGUGCCCACGGAUACGGGCGGCCCAGAAAACUGACGGAAUAGACGGACACUAAUGAACAUGAUUAAUGAUGAUAAAGGAUGGUUUAUUAUGUUGUUUAUAUGUGUUAUUCAUAAUUCCUGUAUACAAUUGAUCAUGUGGUUAUGGGAUUAUUUAUGCUACCUUAAUAUUUGCUAUCCAAUGAAUAAACAUGCUAUCCACUAUUAAAAGCUAAAUGCAGUCAAACUAGUGUCAGCUCUUUGAGCCUCAUGAACUCCUGGUUAUACUUGUUGGGUACGAUAUGUGCUCACUCUUGCAAUUUCCCCCACACCUCAGGAGAAGUUUUGGGCUUGUGAUCAACCAGUCAGCUCGAUCCUAUGGAGAGAAGUUAAUACCCGAAGUUGGAGUUGACGAAACACUGUUUGCUAUUAAAGGUUAUCUCUUUUAUACUAAGUACGUUAUAUAUUUACGCAUUGUCUUAUGAUAUUACCCUUUAUUUGAAGCUAUAUGUGAGAUUUGACUUCUAAAACUCACAUAUGGUGUAUAUCUGGUUUUGUCCUUAAAAUCGGGUAUUACAGGAUCACCGGACGCUCUGUAGGUCCACACCGGACUCAUGCACAGAGAGUUCCGCAAACCUACGGGUCACCGGACGCUAAGCACCAGUAGCGUCCGGUGCUCACCGGACCCAUGCGCAGAGAGGGUCGCAAAACGCCCGCACUUCGGACGCUAACCAGUGGACGCUCUCAGAGUGCGUCCGGUGCUCAACCCUAGCAGGGUCAAGCACACCGGACUCUGAGGCUAGCGUCCGGUGCCUCCGUACCCAGCGUCCGGUGCCUCCGUACUCAGCGUCCGGUGAGUGUUUCUCAGUGAGAAAACACUCCCGCGACUUCUCCAAAAUUCCCACCGGCGCAAUAGAAAAUAUACACUUAUUUUUCUCAAAAGCGCCGAAUCCCGCCGAGCUUGCUCGGCGGGAGGGAGAGAGGAACCCAAACCCCUCUCAACCCUAGAAACUCCACCUCCUUUGCAAAAGUGCUAACACCAACAAGUGUCCACCACCAAAGUGCAUGUGUGUUAGCUUUUCACAAACAUUUUCCCAAAGGAGUUAAGUUAGCACUUUACUANNNNNNNNNNNNNNNNNNNNNNNNNNNNNNNNNNNNNNNNNNNNNNNNNNNNNNNNNNNNNNNNNNNNNNNNNNNNNNNNNNNNNNNNNNNNNNNNNNNNCAGAUGUAGGCCUAGUAGCACUUGAUUCGAGAGAUGACCGUGAUUUCCCCUCUUGAUAGUCGGCUAUCUAUCCUAAACCCGGUCAAUCACUUCUCUACUCAUCUUAGACCGGCAAAAGUAAAACCCUAUGUUUAUACCUUUGCCUUGAUCACUUUGCUCCUUGUCUAUCACCAUGAUCUGUACUUCAUGCUUCAUCCCUUUGUGAUCAUGUGGCCACCUUUCCAUGCCACCAUGUACCUUCAUCACAUGUGUUGCUAUGCCUAACUCAAAUCACUUAAACACGAGGCAUUAGCAACUUGGUGUCAUUAAUUACCAAAACCAAACUUGGGCUUUCAACAUACCUUGUGCUUGUCAUUCAUACGAUCUUCUUGCUCCAAUUCUGGAAAUGUUAGUGGCAAGAAUACUCAAAGGAAUAUUUUUAAAAUUAUCCUUAUAUGUUCAAUACACAAGGUAAUGUUUAAUAGCUCAUGUUACAAUCUGAUCAGUGCUUGUUUUAGGACACUAAGCUUGUCCUUGGGAAACCAUCAAUUUAUGUCGGCGAAGUGGUUUCCCUUCCAACGCUGACCUAUAUCAAGAUCAACUCCACGAGAUCUGCAAUAUUUAUUAUAGACAUAUGCAUCGACAACCAUCCUUUUAAAGUUUUUAUAAAUAGAAAGGAAGAGGGGGCUGGAGUUCUCAAAUGUGGUGAUGUUGGAGAGACCAAUAGAUUGGGAAGAUGUUGCAUAUGAGCAUGGAGUAAGUGAAGUGGCUAUGAAAUAAAUUCCAUGCUCAUUAAUGUUAUCUUCGUCUCCAAUCUGAAUGUUUGGAGUUUCUCCUAGAUUGGUCUCGCCUAUGCCCUCUUCUGUAGUUUGAUGAAUCUCAUCUUCAAAGGGAGUUAAGAACUCACCAUUUGAAAUUGAGCCAAAGUCAGAAUCCAUUAAGGCUUCUUCCUUGUCCAUCCAUUCAAUGGUGAAAGGACAUGGGUUUUUAAUGCCCUCUAGCCAUUGAUGUUGCUCUUCUCGAUCCUCCUUAUGGUCUUGGUGACUCUUAUGCAUUGGAUGUCUAAAGAGAUUCAUAGGAUGAUCGGGAGGUUCAAGAGAAAGAGCAUAGUAGAAAUUAUUAGGCUCUGGGAUGGGUUUAAAGAUAGGUUCGAAUGAGUCAUCAAAAGUGGGCGUAGAAGGGGAGAAGAUGAGAUUGUCUUCUAGAUGGCUUCGCUCUCCUUCUAUUGCAUCACUUAAGAUGCUAUCCUUGAGUCUUAGAUGACCAUUAAAGGGAUUGGAUUUGAGAUGCUUUCUAAGAGAUCCCUUCUUAGGAAGGUUCAAACUAUAUGCACUCAAGGGUCUCUUAUGAAGCAGGAAGUUUAAGCUCAUCCCAAAAUGAAUUUCCAAUGGUAGAAUUUCUUCUUCCCUUAGAUGAUUUUGGAGCACUACUAGUUGGAUAGCCGAAUCAUGGGAUUGAAAUGUUUGGAAAUCAGCUAUUGAAACUUCCUUUCCUUGUCUGGGAGAUGAUUCCUUCUCUAUCUCUAGGAUUUUUUAUGAAGACUAGUGCAAGAAGGAUGUCCACGAAUGAAGACAUACCUUGCUUUAGUAACAGAUAAAGAAAGAAAAAUUGUACCCAAGGUUAUAUGAUUAAGACCAAUGUGAAAAUAUCGAGGAAAAACAUGGUCUUGUAGGGCUAGGUCUAAACCAGAAUUUAUAGAAAGAUUAACAGAUUCCCUAGGUGUAGCUAAAAGUUCAUUAUCUUGUUGAUUAAAAGAUAGGACCUCAGCUAUAGAAAAGGGUUGGUUUUGACCUAUUGCAAUCAACUCCGGACACAGAUCAUAAUUAGGGGCAAAGAAAGGACAUGUUGACCCCCAUGGUCUAUGGCUGGUCUCUGAAGGUGCAAAAAAUUCAAUAAUAGGUGUGGAAUUUGAGUUAUCCAUAAAGAUGGAAAAAAUAAAAAGAUAAAAGAAUAAAAGUAUAAUACAAGAUAAUAGCAAGACUUAAAGUUAUCUCAGCAAACCGUCUUUCUCCUCGGCAACGGCGCCAGAAAUGCUUGUUGAUAUUUGGUAACGCCAUGAGGAAUUGAUCCGCAAGUGCACGGAUAUCGGUGAGCACUUCACCUGGAAGGUUAUCCAAAGUAUCGUAUUUAUAUUUUUACCACUGGGAGAAAGUGUGCAUCUAACUAACCAAAUCUAUUGCUACUACCCUUUAGGCUACAAAGAAUGUGACUCGAUGUGAGUGAUGUAUAGAGACGACUACAACCGUAAUCUCGUUCUAACCUUGGUAAGGAUGAUCUACUAUUCUGUUGGGGAGGCUCACGGAAUCUAGACAUUACAGAGGAUGUUCGACCCGCACCUAUAAACCCUACAAUCCUACUAACGGGAUAUGGGCUACAAAGGUAACUUGGAAAUGCCACGUUCCUCACUACUACCACGGUCCAGCUAGUCAGGGGAUAUCUAUGAGUAUCCUAGCCCAAACACCACGUUUAUGCUAGAGAUGAUUACUCUAAACUCUACGCGAAGAGAUCAAAGUAAACUCAUAAACCAAAGAACAAUAAAACAAGAACUUACUAGAAUUUAGAAGUCGAAAUACUGAAGCAUCCUAGCAGCAAGUCUCGGGUUAGGAGACUUGAUCCCGCAGGUACAACCUCAGAGUAGACACCGAUAGGCCGGGCUUCCUCCGAUCCACACCUCCACUCUAUCUCUCUCAAUCUAGUAGAACUAGUCUACUCUCACAUUGGAUGCUAAGCCCUAAGUCUAUGUAGAGGAAAGGUUAUCCUUCGAGGGCACCUCUCAACUCUAUAAUGAACUUGUUCUCCUCCAGGGGCCAGGGGGUCUGCUUAUAUAGUCGGAUCAAACCGUCAUUGAUUGAACGGUUAUCCUUGAUCCUUUAGGUUGGUGGAGCAUAAUUCACGAGAUUGAACGUGAUUGGCCACAACACCUAGGCGGGCACCCAAGGGGGGAGGGCGGGCGCCCUGCCCCCGGGCCCGUUCGGCCUCCCGUUUGUUUCCGUGGCUUCUGGACUAAGUCUGGGUGUUGGUUGCAUUUGGAUCCUUUUCUUUAUUUAUUUGAUGAUUAUAUUUGGUACUUAAGGACCGUCAACAACCGGUGAAAUGGAAAUGCCCUAGGUUAUACCUUUGCCUUGCGCUUUCCAUUCCAUCUCCUCCAAUGUUGAUGCAACACAUGCACCAACCAAUCACCAAAUGAUAUGAUCCACUUCAUAUCAUCACGUGACCGUAUUGGUUCAUCGAUCUUGACAUCACUUUCUCUUCACCAUUGCCUCGGUCCAUCGGUGCCAAGUCUUGCUCAAGCUUCACCGUCACGCGCGGACCCUCGCUUCAAAGCCUCCGACUUGCCCUUCACUCUUGCAACUGGUCCAUCAAGCCAAGCCUCAUCUUGAUCUUCUCCACCUUGGUCACAUGACUCCAUGUCAUGUCUCAUAUGCAAUGAGCUCCUCCAUAAUCACAUAAUCACCUGUGGACUAAUCUCCUGUGUAUCUCAUAUAAACACAAUUAGUCCACCUAAGUUGUCAAUCAAUUACCAAAACCAAACAAGGACCUUUCACCUUCUGAUUAACUAUUUUUAUCACGCCUCUUAUUUAGUCAAUCCACUUAUCCGGUUGUCCCUCCUUCCACGAAGUAGGCCCACGGGUAGUUUUCUGACUUGCCAAAAAUUGAGAUUAACAUAAACAAGAUCAUUGAAUCCAACUGUGAUAUCAUUAGUAUCCAAGAAACCAAGAGAAGUGACUUUGAUCUGAACUAUAUUAUGAAGUUUUGCCCAAAAUCCUUUGAUGCUUUCUGCUUCUUGCCUUCUGUAGGCACUUCUAUUGGUAUUCUUGUCACUUGGAAAGGUUGUUUCUUUUUAGGGGUUGAGGUUUUUUAGAAUAAUUUCGCUAUUUCUGUUGAGUUCCCCUCUCUCUUCAAUAGUGAUUCUUGGAUUCUCACCUCUGUCUAUGGGCCUUGUUCUUCUAAAGGAAAUGUUGCCUUCACCAAGUGGCUAGAGAACAUUCAUAUGCCUGAUGACAUUCAUUAGCUGGUUGUGGGAGAUUUAACCAUAUCAAAAAACGGGAGGAUAGGAAUAAAAGGGGGCAACCUAGGAUAAAUGCUUAUGUUCAAUAAUGCUAUUAGUCCCUUGGGUCUGGUAGAGAUCCCCCUUCAUGGCAGGAAAGUUACUUGGACCAAUAAACAACACCCUCCUCUCCUUGAAAGAUUGGACUAGUUUUUCUCUUCUUAGUCCUAGACUCUCAGAUUUCGAUUUACCACUGCACACUCCUUAGUCUUGGGGACUUCUGAUCAUUGGCCCUGCUUAGUUGAGGUCAAGACUAUCAUUCCAAAUGGAAAGGUUUUUAGAUUUGAAAAUUGUUGGAUGUGCCACCCUAAGUUCCUAAUGGUUGUUUCAAAUUCUUGGAAUGCCCCUUUCCCUAGCUUGAUGCAGCCAAGCUCCUGACUGCCAAAUUCAAAUCCCUCAGAAACAGUCUCAAGUGCUGGGAGGCUCAACUGUCUAACUUGAAGAAGACCAUUGCAAAUAUCAAGCUUAUUAUCUCUUUUUUGGACACUAUUGAAGAAUGGAGAGACCUUGAGUUGCAGUAGUGGAAUUUCAGAGAUAUCCUUAAUAACAAACUUUCUGACCUCCUCCACCAGCAGAUGAUCUAUUGGAAACAAAUGGGCAAUAUAAAGUGGGUGCAACUUGGUGAUGAAUGCUCCAAGCUUUUCCAUGCUCAUGCCACCCUUAAGCAUAGAAGGAAUUUAAUCACCUCCUUGUCUUUCCAUCAUGUAGUCCUGGUUUCUAACCACAGUCAAAAGGCUGCCCUUGUUUGGAAUUAUUUUAAGGAAAGAUUAGGCUCCUCCAACCAUGAGUAGAUGCUUUUUGAUCUGAACUCUCUCUCCACCCAGGAUGUGGACCUCAGCCCCCUUGAGGAACCCUUUGGCCAGUAAGAAAUUGAUGAGAUCAUAAGGCAACUUCCAUCUGACAUAUCCCUGGGCCCAAAUGGCUUUAAUAAUGAGUUCCUAAAAAUGUUGACAUAUAAUAAGGCAUGACUUUUAUAGCUUGUGCAAUGCCUUCUGGCAUGGGGAGAUUUGUCUUCAGAGUAUAAAUGGAUCUUUUAUCACUCUGAUUCCAAAAAUUGAUGGGCCAACUAGAAUUUGUGAUUUUAGACCCAUUUCUCUCUUUAAUUCAUUUGUCAAGGUGCUGACCAAACUACUUCCUAACAGGCACCAACCUCUCAUCACCAAGCUCAUCCAAACCAAUUAGUAUGGCUUCAUUAGGUCACGUUCCAUCCAAGAUUGUCUGGUGUGAUCUUUUGAAUAUUUGCACCUGUGUCACACAUCUAGAAAGAGAUUAUCAUCCUGAAACUGGACUUUGAGAAGGCUUUGGAUAGAAUUGAGCAUGGGGCUAUGCUUCAAAUUAUGAAAAAGAAAGGAUUUGGUGAUAGGUGGCUUUCUUGGAUGAAGACGAUUUUUAGCUCAGUGUUGACAUUUACUACCGUCAUUACUAAGAAGCAGAAAUAACUCCUACCCCUAGCAACAAUGCCAGAAAUGCUCAGUAUAUAAUUAACUUGUCAUUUAGCUACUAGCCACUUCUUAGUUACUAACAUUCCUAAACAUAAAGUAGGUUGUCAUCCCUAAUUCUAUUGCUAGGAAAUUAUUAUAAAUUUACAUGUACUAAUGUGACUAGGCAGAUAUAAAAGAUAUGAAUGUAACAUGAUUGUAAACUAAAUGGGUUCUGCAAGCGGACAAAUAACUAUACCGUUGUUGCAUUUUACCUAGGAAGUUCAUCCACGUUGUCGAUUUAUAUUUAUACCACUGGGAAAGCUAUGUAAUAAACUAUAAUCUAUUAUAUUGAUAAAAGACUAUAUAGGAUGAAUAAGUGAUAUUACCAAGAUCAUCUAAUCUACUCAUAAUAGGCAGAUGUCACAAGAUAAAUAUGGGUGAUAGCUGUUGACACUAGCUAACACCACUUAGAUACUAGGUUGUCAUCCCUAGCAUGGCGCCAGAGUGUACAAAGGUAUUUAUAAAUGUAAAGGCUCUCUAGAAAAUAAUCUAUUCUAUCCGCAAGAGCACAGAUAAAACACCUCAUUGUAGCAUUUCCCCAGGAUAAGUAUUCCAGGUAUCGUUAUUUAUAAUUUUGCUCAAGGGAUCUAAAGAAGAUGGAAUUAAAUCAAGGGACAAAAUCUAUCAAGGCAUAGACUAGAGAUAAACUUGCAAGAACAUGAUUACUAAUGAGAAACUCGUCACACAGUCACUUACUUUAGCAGGGGGUAAACCAUAAAGAUAAUGACAAUAAAGUAUAAGUUCAUGGGUAGAUAGCACAGCGAUUAGAAAAUAGACUACUCCUCAUAUAUGUAGGUGAUGUCGGAUUAGCUAGAGAAUGGAUUCUAUGUUAUCUACUAACUACUAAGUCAUAAUCUACUCUAGUUAUCUACAAGAUCAUAUAUAGCAUAAAAGACUCUUCAUUCAUGUAUAAGGAACAUUGAUAAAGUAAAUCAGAGCAUCGCAUGACUUACUCCACAAUACCGGUUCUGCCUGUCCUAUCAACGGAGGGUGGACUAUAUAAGAAUCAACGAAGCUGUCACUAUCGCGAACUACCACACGACCCGGCCAAUAGGAUACAUUUGUCGAUAAAUAACAUCUAAGCACCACGCUCACAUGUGAUCUAUCACCUAACUCCCUCGCGUCAAGAGCAAAGCGCUUUGCAAACUUAUACAUAAACUCAUUAUCAAUUAGAACUAUAUCAAAUAUAGAACUAGAGCAAACUAAGAACAUAAUAAUUAGAGACAUAAUGCAAUUAGAACAAUAGAAUUAGAGAAAGAUAUGAAUAAUACCAAUCUUUAUUACCGAAGAUCCGAAUCCAGAGCGUAGUGCUCUACUUCUCUAAUUGCUAUCUAAUCAAACCUCUAAACUUGAAGGAUUAGGGAGUAGCUAAUUCUAAUUCUCUGUGGGAGAGAAGCUCUAAACCCUAACUUUGAUGGCUACCUCUGAAUAAUGAUUUCUCCUCUCUCCUCCAGGGGCCAGGGGGUCUGGUUUUAUAGUCCCCUCAAGUGAACGUGAGCCAUUGGAUCAAACCGACAUAGAUUGUAUGGUUUAGAUUGAUCCUUUAGGUCGGUGGAGAGUUGUCCCGAAGCAGAGUCCUGGUUGGCUUCCUGGCCAGGGCGGGCGCCCAAGGGGGGUGGGCGGCCGCCCAGCUCCCGAGCCCGAAUCGCGUCCCGUUCGUUCCCGUGGCUUCUGGAUCCUUCUAGAUUGAGGAAAAUUGCGCGGUACGUAAUUAUCUCGUUGUAAACAUGACAUGUCGGCCUUCUCUCUCUAUUUUCUGAUAAACCCCUGCAGAAAUAGAUAAACACCAAAACUCGUGGAAUUCUGUCAGAUAAAACCCUAAUUCUAGAUGUUUGUUUUAUAUUGAUCCUUUUUCAUGUUUAUUUGAUUAUUAAUUUUAGUACUUAAGGACCGUCAACAAACUCCACCAAGCUUACCCUUUGCUCGUCCCUGAGCAAACAGCUAAACUCAGACGGAUCAGGAGUUGCUUCGAUGUUUUCUUUCCUGACAGGCACACAUGCUUUUACAUAAAAAUUCUUCCAGAUUAGAGUGAAGUGUUAUGGAGUUUAGUACCUGCACUUAAAUCUUAAGUAAUUGAAAGACAAAAUAGUUAAGUCAAGCACUAUCCCUCCUGUCUAUACUUCACUUUUGUUCUAGAGUUUUGUCAUAAGUUUUCAAAAUAAAACUCAGAGUUCCCAGCAAUAAUCUCUUAAGUCUCUCUAUAUGUGGUAUUUGUGGAUCCUUACCAUAAUGUCACUUACCUAUAGCUAAUGGAAUAUUUAAGUGGAGCUCAUAGGAGUGGAAAACAGCUCAUACAUAUGUUGUCUAAUCGAGCCAUGGAUCCAAAGGAACUCAGCAUAUAAUUAAAUCAAGAUGUGCAUGUGUGAUGGAGUAAAUGAUAGUGAUGGUGAAAAUGCAUAACUGAUAAUAAAAUUUACUUCUCAUUGCUCCUCAUAUUGCUAUCUCUUUUCUUCUUUGAUCUUUGCUUUGGGAGAACAUGGGCUAUCUGUUUUUCUUCUUUUUUUUUCAGGUGGGUAGUGGAUACCCCUAAUUCUACUGUCGGACACUUGUCCAUUUUUUCCGCUCAAGUGCGCAUCUUUGUACCCCUAAUUCUACUUCGGACACUUGUCCAUUUUUACCUCUUGUCUCACUCUUUUUCUUUCUUUUUCGAGGUUCCGGGCACUUGCCCCUUUUUAUUUCCUCGCAUAUUUUUGCAUAACCCAUGCCUCUUCUGCAUUGAAUCUUUUUAGAGAGAGAGAAUAACAAUAUUUGGGACAGUGAGUGAUAAUAUAUUUUUAGCAAUUUUAAUGAUUGAUGAUGAAUGCUGUGGUAGAUGUGUGCAAGUGAAUAUCUUAAUUUAACCACAUGAAAAGCUCCUAAGGGUCUACAUAGCUCGAUCAAACUCAAUGUGAAUAUAGUGAAAGAUGUUAUAGCAAGUAUGGCUGUGGUAGGUAAUUUUGUUAUGCUAGGAACUCAUCAUGUGAUUUGUAAGUUUUCAAAAUAAAUCUCCAGAACUUAGUGUAGUAGAAAUAGGAUAAACAGUAGCUCAACUUUAUAUCAUGCCUUUCUUUUACCUGGACUUUAGUUUUAUGCUUCCCAAAGAUAGUAGUUUUAGUUUUAGUAAUUCCUGGAAGAAUUCUAAUAUAAAAGCUAGGUGCUUGUAAGUAAGCAAACAGAGCAACUAUUCAUCAUUUCCAUCAUGUAUAUUUUUGGUCUUUUUAUUUUUCUAGAGAUUAAACUUAGCAGAAAAAAUAAAACACACUUAUCUACACACUCUUUUUAUUUUGUUUUCGUGUUUAUAAAGUGCAGUAAAUUAAAGCAAGAAAAUAUUUAUUUGGUUUUCUAAAUUUUCCUUUUAAGGUAAAUUAAAUACUAGAAUAAAAAAGAAUAAAUAAGAAGAGCAAAUAAAAACUUACUCGAUAAAUUUGGGAGGAACUCCCCCAAGCUCGAUGUUGACGUCGGUCUUACCCGAUGUUCCAGAACCGCAUCAUGGUUGUGAUGUUGUCGUUCAUUGUUGUUGUAUCUUGUCUCAGCUCUUCUACUGCAGCGGCAUGGUCCUGGUUCCAUUUUUGUUGCUUUUCUAGGAGUCUUCCAUGUUCUGCUUGCGUGUUCUGGAUGUCGAGGAGGGUGUUGUCGGUACGAGUGAAGAAAGCACCGGCCUCUUGAUAGUAAUCAUUCGUGAAGGCGUAGGAGGCGUCGGAGUAUCGUCCUGCAUCAAAUUGGGGUGGAGGUCUGGAUCCUGAAGCUCCAUAUGGAUCAGUGGAGUACCUGCCCAUAUGAAAAGGCGGGUUUGUCCACUGGUGAUCUUGGCUCUCCGGCCAUGUCUCCUCUGUUGGCUCUUGUGGUUGCGCAUGACGAGCCCAUGGGUCUCGAAGGACUCGUGGAUUGUAAUCGCAAUAAUGCAGGUGCGCUGCUUCUUCUGGUCCAAGGUCAGCUCCAUACCAGGUGCGUUCUCGGUGAGUGGUUAUCCUUUCAGAUGCCACUCGCUGUGGAGUUCUCUGGUUCACUGGUGUUGCUGCAAUCUCAAUCAAAAAGUUUUGCACAGAGUAGAGGCCAAGGUUCGGGUUAGGUAACCGAAUCUUGCCUUUAUCAUCAUACAGCAUAUACAUUAUAUUCCCCUCUUUCUUUAACAUCCGAGCUUGUCUAAAUGUGUCAUAGCCAUGAUAAAUUCUUAAUUCUUCUAUGAAGUCCAACGAUGAGUUUUCUAGUAAGUGAAGAUUAGUGGCUAGACGAGUGAUAAGUGAAGUACAUCCUACUGGUCCCUGAAGACUAGGUAUACUAAGCCAAUGUGAAACUAAUAGUGUAACAGGUGAAGUGGGUACUUUACUAAUAGCAGCAUAUAAAAGUUGUAAAUCUCCUACUCUUACUUUCCUAAUAUCAUCAUGAUAGAAAAAGAUUGUACCCAAGCCAUUUGUGAAACAUCCUAAGAGUGGGGUGUUCCAUGUCACUGGUUCGGGCUUGACUAUAAAAAUUAUCUCUAGAUAUUUCUCUCCAAAACUGGUGUCUCUCAAAAUUGGGUAAAUCGGAGUCAAUGUUCAGGAUGCACCUUGAAGAGAAACCAAGAUGGUCGCUCAGCUCUCUCCAAGAUAACAUGAUUUCCUGUUUGAACAUCCGAAAAACAAUUCCCCCCUCAUAGUAUUGUAAGGUGCAAAGAAAUUCGAGGGUGAGAAGACGAGAACCCAGCUCAGUUAUAUUCCAAAAAUUUGUCCAACCCAUCAUUUGAAAAAUUAAGUCAAAUUCAGUGUCCAUACCUGUUUCUUGUAGUAGGAUUGUGUUGAUGCAAAACUGAUCUGCAAACACAAAGGGCUAAUACCCGAUUCAAACGUUAAGGCGUGCCAGCCGAUUUGACCUUGCUAUCGGCAAAGGUGAUAACUCGAAUACUUUAGUCCUGACAACAGCGAUGCGCCCGGAUGUCACGGCUAAGAGGUACUCACGCGGAACUUGAGAACACGCCGAGCUUAAGUCGACGAAUUCCUAAGAACUCGUAACAAAAGGAAAAAGUAUGACGAAGUCGUCGAAAAGUAAAUGCUGGAAUAUGAGUAAAAACGUGUGUUUGAUUCAUUGAUUGAUUUUUUAUUACAAGGCCCUAGGGUCUAUAUUUAUACCCUGCUCAAAGAGCUACAACCAGACACGAUUAGAAUUCGAAUUCCAAAUUACACGGAAUCCGUAUACAAAACGAUGCAAAUAAUUAAGGAAAUAACAAAACUAUCCCUCGUGACAAACCGAAACUCCUCCACAUAACGACCGGCAGCUUCCGGACUCCCUCUUUGCAUCAUCGGCAGACCCUUUGCCAUAGUCAUCGGCAGACUUUCUUAUCUAGCCAUCGGUACCAUAUUACUGCCUGUGGACUUAGUCACGUUCAACUUCUCCCUCAUCGGCAACCAUCCUCAUCGGCAACCCACUUUGUAAACAUCGUACUGCCACCUUAUCCUGCCAUCCUAGACACGUGCCCAAAAACGGUGUCAACACAUGCCCCCCAGUUUCGGAGUAUAAAACUAUUAAUGCUCCGAAAUUCUCUGCAGUAAUGAUGCCUUUUCCCGCAAUUAAUGCUCCUAAUCUGGUAACCGACAACCUCAAUCUGAACAACUCUGAUCCUAUUCCUCCGCAGAUUCCUCGAAAUCCCCAACUUCCUAAACGGGCAUUUUUCUCAGUCGUACAUCGGCAACAAUACCGUUACAAAGAUCUGCCGAUGUUCUGACCAGGAUAUUCGCACAAACGGUUACUUCCCCUCUAUCCGCCCAUCGGCAAUAUGACCGUUAUAGAAUAUUGCCGAUGGACCGACCAGGAGAUCUCGCACAGUAAAAUAUCUUCAGAUAAUGACCGCUUCCCGUCAAAUCACCUGCACAAUCCCUGGAUUACCGUGCGAACAGUUACCAUAUCCACCUGAGUACCCUCGGAUUUCUCGGAUGCGGCAAAGAGAUAAGUCGGAUUUGCCCUUGCCCAUUUUGUCCUAUAAAUAGUUCCUUCUUGGGUACUCCUUCCCCAUCACACCAUUCUACUACCCAACUUUACUUUUCCAGCGGCGGCGCCACCAAAAACUUCUAAGGUCUCCGACAAGUACGCCUCUUCACCAACUCCGGCGCCUUCACACGCUUCCUUCGCAGCAAGAUGGCCGUCGGGUUCGUCGUCCCUGAGGUCAAAUCUCCACCCCGUCUUCUGUAUUUUUCUUCAUAUCCCUGUUCACUCGCAAUUCUUUUACUGAACAUCUUCCUUUUCUUUCCUCUUUGUAUUUCUUUUUACGCCCAAAAUCAGUAGGAAUUGUCCAACAAAAUUGUCAUCCCCACCGAUCAACCACACCUUCAAUGCCUCGGCCCUCUAGGGGACCCAGAUCCAACUGACCUUAUCAACGCAGAAACCAACAGGAUCCCCUUCAGAGCCGAAAAUUUUUCCUUAGAUCUGUGGAAGGACACCUUCCGCUCUUGGCCCAGCCCAACUGUAGGGUGUAAAGACUGGUUCUUGAGGGUCAGCAACUCUAAUGAAGUUCAGUGGGGUGAAAGGAAUCUAGCCCAAUGCAUUAGAUUGUCCAUUGCCGAUAUGCAUAGGAACGAGUCACUGCUGAUAGUUGCAUCCUACUUUUGGUCAGACACCCUCAAUGCUUUUGCCUUUGGCCACGGCCCUGCUUCUCCUACUCUUGCCGAUGUAGCCAUGCUUACUGGUCUAGAUAUAUCUUCUGCCGAUAGCACCCACUUUUUUGAUACUGCCCCUAGUGCCAAAGUGGAGACUCGCGCUAUCGGCGGUUGGUCGGGGUACAUUCAGAAGUACCGUGGGAAAGGAUCUGUCACCAUAAGGGAACAAACCACCUUUCUGAACAUGUGGCUGGACAAGUUUGUAUUCUGUGGUCGAUCGGCAGGACCGACUUCUGUCUACCUAUCGGCAGCAGAAAGACUGGCUAACGGUGGCCGAUUCCCUCUCGGCGAUACUUGCUUGGCGCUGUUUACCACCUUCUCCAUCAAGUAGCCCAGAAACUUCUGCUCGGCCAAUCCACUGGCAACUUGGGAGGCCCCUGGUGGUUUGUCAACAUGUGGCUCAAUCUGCAUCUGCACAAGCGUCUCAACUUCAACCUGUUCACACAGCGUUUCCCAAGAGAUAUAGCUGAAAACCAUGUAUUGGGUGAAGAGGAAUCGGCAACACGCGCCCCCUUGAACUUUGGCGAAGCUGUCAUAGUUCUGCCUGCUUGAGGGGGUAAUCCAGAUCAGAUCGGCCGAUUCUUCUAGACUCUGUAUGAGGGUUUGACCAGAGACGAACGACCAUGGUUGGCUUAUGAUGACCCAGAUAGCAUGCUCCCUCUGACCUUCAAUCCAUUUGAUGAAGCUCUCGACAGGGACAAUGAGGUGAUGAUGGCAAUUGUGACUCCCAGAAUCAUUCCAGUGAAUUUCUUUGGUAGCACAAAAACCUCCCCUCAAACUUACGAAUUUUACAAUCCAUCGGCAUUAGCUCGCCAGUUAGCUUUCGGCCAGUUGCCGAUUGCACUUCCUUAUGCCGAUGUGAUAAAACCCAGAGAAACUAUCAACAACCUUCUUGAGUGGACUCGAGCAGCCCAACUACCACCAAACGCCGAUAUAGAUGUAGAUCUGUCAGAAUGGGUUCCGGCUGCUUUUAUCACUCAGGCAUACAAGUUAUGGUGGGCAGAAUGGAAAGAGCAUCUAUUCUGCAGAUCGGCACUUUCAUACUGCGGCAUGAUUGACUCCGAAUACGAAGUUCCCGAUGACACUGUAAGUAACUCAAACCAACGUUUCAUUUUCUCAAUAUUACCUCCAUCGGCAGCUUACCCUUGUAUUCCUUUUGCAGGUUGACAAUAUUCCUCCAUUGGUUAGCAGGAGUGGCAGGCCGAUCGACUUGUUUCCAUCAGGCCCGAUUUCCUCAAUCGGCCACAAUGCUCCCACUCUAGCUUCCAUCGUGCAUCGGGGUGUACGCCUCAGGAAAGUCACCACCAGAAGAACCCAGACAUCACCAACGGUUGCUGCUCCCACUCUUGCGCGGGCUUUCAAGGCAAUUUGUCAAAUCUUUUCCUUUAUGCUGACUAUCUUUAUAUCGGCUAUAUUUAUGCUUAUAAACUCUUGUUCAUUAUUGCAGCAAACCGGCGCAUCGGCGAAAGCCAGGUGUGAGAGUACCGAUGCCCCCCAGUCUAGCCAACCCAAGAGAAAGGGCACCACGGGUGCUAAGACUGGAACAAAGCGCCAGAAGGUAGCAAAUCCCCCUCCUCCUCCGGUAUCUCCAAUUCCGGUGGAGUCUUCUCCUUCUUCUCCAGAAGCCCAGCCACAGCAAGCACCAUCUCCCCCACCUAUGCAGGAAGCACCACAGAUAGAAGAACCCCAACAGGAAGGAUCUCAAACAGAAGAUGCAUCAGCUGACAUGGGUGAACAAACAACUGGCCCGGUGGGUCCAGUUAUACCAUCGGCAGUUCUCCCGAUUCAGACAACCGUUGUCCCUCCUCUAGGUAACAUACUUUAACAAUAUCGCUACCGAUGAACUUAUUCUUAUUUAGUCUCAUAACUCCUUUUGUCUUCUUUCAGUUGAUAUCGUUCCAUCGGCAAUCUCAGCCGAUCAACCUGUAGCUCCAUCGGCAUCUUUGGCCGAUCAGCCUGCAGCUCCGUCAGCACUUCUCAGUCAAAGACAAGAGAUCGCCUUGAAGCAAGUAAGUCACCGCUUACCGUUAGCACUAUUUGCCGAUUCUCUGAGUAUGAGCUAAUUUUGCUUUCCCUCCCAGGAACAAGAUUCUCCCGAUAGCCUGUUCUCCUUCGCCAUCGAUCUCUCUGAAGAAGAAGGUGAAGAAGCAAGCUCUUCUCAGACGGUCGGCAUCACAUCGGCAGAGAUCAGGGUCAGGCUGGAAGAAUUGUCAGCUCUCCUUCACCAGGACACAGCGCAAUUGGUUGAUGAUUCCGACCCUACCAAGACCCUGUUCAGAACUCUCAGAGGCCAAAUCCCAGCCGAUGUUGAAGAAAUCCUGUUCCAAGCCGCUCAUCUGGAGAGUCGCCAGCUGCAGUACCAAAGAGCUUCUCGGCGGCUUGCCGAUAGAGUCGCUCAGACUCAACUCUCCGAUGAAAUGAGGAAAGAGAAGCUUUUGACCGAUGAGAAGCACAAGAACAUCGGUAUCCUGAGAUCUUCUGGAGACGCGCUGAAGCAGAAGAUAUCCGAUCUAUCGGCAAGAAAAGAAUCCCUGUUGACGGAGCUCAAGGAAGUAGAGAACGCUCUGUCCCAAGCCCAACAGGAAGAGAGCCAAUUGCCAGAGACCAUCAGGCUUCUUGAGCACGAGCGAAAUGCUCAUGGUCGCAAGGCACUUCAACUGAAGAAGCUGAAGCCGAUAGAAGGUUUUGCCGAUGAUGACAUCAAGGAGAUAGAAGCAGCCAACCAAAUUCGGCUACGCGCUAUAUCGGCAAUCCAGACGCUGCUUAACACAUAGAGUUUCCAUCGGCAUUGUAUCUGCGCUUUCCUGCUUCCUCAGCUUUUAGUCUAGCCGAUAGGACUGUUAUCGGCACCUAAACUUUUGAAACACCAAGUGUUGUCCCCAAGCAUUUGGAUCCAGCCGAUAGGAGUGUUAUCGACACCUAAACUUCUAUGCAUCGACCCAUAUACUGGGGUAGUACUUCUUUAAAUAUUUGUCGUUUAAUGCUCUGGGAAAUUCAAUUCCUUCGAGGGUUUCUAGAAUGUAGGCAUUACCAGGAGCCGAUCGACUUAUCCGAUAAGGACCCUCCCAAUUAGGAGACCACUUUCCAAACUUUGAACUUUUGGUCCCAAUUGGUAAAAUUAAUUACCAUACCAAAUCCCCAUCGGCAAACUCUUUAGCCUUCACUUUCUUAUCAUACCAUCUAGCAACUCUCUUCUUAUUUUCUUCUAUACUCAUUAAAGCUUUUAACCGAUGCCCUGCUAGAUCGUCCAAUUCAUCGGUCAUCAAAGUGGCAUAACCAUCGGAAGUUAAUUGAUCUUGAAAAGAUAAUCGCCUAGAUCCAGCCUUAAUUUCCCAAGGCAACACUACAUCAUGUCCAUACACCAAUUGAUAGGGUGAUACUUUGGUCGAUCCAUGACAAGCCAUCCGAUAAGACCACAAUGCUUCAUUUAAUAAUGUAUGCCACCGCUUAGGAUUUUCUUCAAUCUUUCGUUUAAUAAGCUUGAUAAUUCCUUUGUUAGACGCUUCGGCCUGCCCAUUGGCUUGAGCAUAACAAGAAGAGGAAUUCAACACUUUAAUUCCCAUACCGAUUGCGAAUUCAUCGAACUCCCCCGAUGUGAACAUGGUGCCCUGAUCGGUAGUAAUCGUUUGGGGAAUCCCAAAUCGGUAAAUAAUAUGCUCCUUCACAAAAUCAAUCAUAUUGGCCGAUGUGACUUUCUUCAAAGGAAUAGCUUCAACCCACUUAGUGAAAUAGUCAGUGGCAACUAGAAUGAACUUAUGCCCUUUGCUAGAUGGUGGAUAAAUCUGGCCGAUCAGAUUGAUGGCCCAUCCCCGGAACGGCCAAGGCUUUAUUAUAGGAUUCAUAGCCGAUGCGGGUGCUCUCUGGAUAUUACCAAACUUUUGACAACCUUGACAUCCCUUGAAAUAUUUAAAACAAUCUUCAAGUAUGGUUGGCCAAAAAUAUCCAUUCCUUCGAAUCAUCCACUUCAUCUUAAAAGCUGACUGAUGCGCUCCACACACUCCUUCAUGGAUUUCCCCCAUCAAACUUCUAGCUUCAUCAUCACCCAAGCAUCGGAGAAGAAUUCCGUCGAUAGUUCGAUAAUACAAUUCAUUUUCAAGGAGCACAUACUUGGUUGCUUGAAAUCGAACCCGUCUUUCAACUUUUUUGGAUGGAUCUUUUAGAUAAUCAAUAAUUUCUUUCCUCCAAUCACCGGCACCGACUGCCGAUGUCGCAUUAAUCAUUGGCUGAUAUCCCGAGGCAUGCUGAGCUAACCGAUUAGCGUCUUCAUUAUGCAAUCGGGGAACAUGCUCCAAUCGGAAAUCCUUGAAUUCCUUUAACAGUUGCAUACUUCUCUCGAAAUAAGUUAUGAGAACUUCACUUCGGCAUUCAUAGCUUCCGGCCAGUUGAUUUAUAACCAACAUAGAAUCCCCGAAUAUUUCAACAGCAUCAGCACGAACUUCUCUUAACAACUCCAAUCCCUUGAUCAGAGCCUGAUACUCAGCCUGAUUAUUUGUUGAUGUGGCAACAAUCGGCAAGGAAAACUCAUACUUCCUCCCCUUAGGGGAAACUAAUACAAUGCCGAUUCCUGCCCCCCGGUCACAGGUAGAUCCAUCAAAGAAGAGCGUCCAGGGUACAAUUUCCAAGGUUUCCACUAGACCGCAAUGCUGAGUCACAAAAUCGGCCAUAAUCUGCCCUUUGACUGCCUUAGCCGAUUCGUAACGCAAAUCGAACUCCGACAGCGCUAAAAUCCAUUUACCGAUCCUACCACUCAUAAUCGGCAUAGACAGCAUGUAUCGGACCACGUCAUCUUUGCAAACAACAGUGCAUUCGGCCGAUAACAGGUAAUGUCUCAGCUUGAUACAUGAAAAAUAUAAGCAUAAGCAUAGUUUCUCAAUGGCCGAAUACCUGGUUUCAGCAUCAAUCAACCUCCUACUCAAAUAAUAAAUUACCCUUUCUUUCCCUUCAAAUUCUUGAACUAAAGCUGAACCGAUAACCGAUCCAUCGGUAGAUAAAUACAAUUUGAAGGGCUUCCCUUGUUGAGGUGGAACUAGAACUGGAGGAUUUACUAGAUACUUCUUGAUUUCAUCCAGAGCCAACUGCUGUUCUUCUCCCCAAAUAAACUCUUGAUCGGCUUUCAAUUUAAGAAGAGGACUGAAAGCACGAAUCCUACCAGACAAAUUCGAUAUAAAUCUCCUGAUAAAAUUUACCUUGCCGAUCAAGGAUUGGAGCUCGGUUUUGUUGGUAGGGGCCACUAUUUUAUUGAUGGCAUCAAUAGAUCUUCGACUAAUUUCAAUACCCCUCUGAUGUACCAUGAAACCAAGAAACUGCCCUGCCGAUACACCAAAUGCACACUUGUUGGGAUUCAUCUUCAAUCCAUGCUUCCUUGUGCACUCUAACACUUUUUGUAAAUCGGCAAGAUGCUUUGAGAAAUCUCCAGAGUUAACCACCACAUCAUCAAUAUAAAUCUCCACGAGCUUGCCGAUGAACUCAUGAAAUAUAAAAUUCAUAGCCCUUUGAUAGGUAGCACCAGCAUUCUUCAACCCAAAAGUCAUGACUAUCCAUUCAAAUAGCCCAACAUGACCAGGACACCUGAAUGCGGUUUUUGGAAUAUCCUCCUCCGCCAUGAAUAUUUGAUUGUAACCUGCAUUACCAUCCAUGAAGCUGAUGACCUGAUGACCAGCCGCAGCAUCAACCAGUAGAUCGGCGACAGGCAUUGGGUAUCCAUCCAUCGGCGUAGCUUUAUUGAGAUUCCUGAAAUCAAUGCACACCCGAAGCUUCCCGUUCUUCUUGUAAACCGGAACAACAUUGGAAAUCCACUCGGCAUACCGACACUGCCGAAUAAACUUAGCUUCAAUAAGUUUGGUGAUUUUGGCCUUAAUACCAGGUAGAAUGUUAGGAUUACAUCGGCGGGCUGGUUGCUGAUGUGGCCGAAAUCCAAACUUGAUGGGUAACCGAUGUUCAACAAUUGAUCGGUCUAAACCAGGCAUCUCGGUAUAAUCCCAAGCAAAGCAAUCUUUAUAUUCCUUUAACAAACUAGUCAAUUGUUGCUUACUCUCAUGAUCUAAUUUAGCACUAAUAAAAGUAGGCCUAGGCUUAUCACCACUACCUAUAUCUACUUCUACCAAAUCAUCGGCCGAUGUGAAUCCCUGGCCUAAUUUUCCAUCAUCGGCGAAUCUAUCCAUUAAAAACCGUCGUCAGAACCGACUGCUUGGAUCGGUGGAAUCUCAUAAUCGGCAACUUUGAGAAAAUCUUUCUCCCAAACUUCUCCUGAAAUGCACCUGGUCCUUUCGUAAGUAUCCGCUUCUGCCGAUGCGAUAACAUAAGAAGAAUCUCCUGGGACAAUCUCAAUCUUGUCACCUACCCACUGAACCAAGCAUUGAUGCAUUGUAGAUGGGAUACAACAAUUGGCAUGAAUCCAAUCUCUUCCCAAUAAUAAGUUGUAAGCACCUUUUCCGCUGAUCACGAAAAAAGUUGUCGGCAAGGUUUUGCUGCCGAUGGUCAACUCUGCACAUAUCGCCCCCUUGACUGGAGACACGUUUCCUUCAAAGUCUUUGAGCAUCAUAUCGGUCUUGGUCAAAUCUUGAUCCCCUUUCCCAAGCUUCCGAUAUACUGCAUACGGCAUAAUAUUAAUAGCAGCUCCACCAUCAACUAGGAUCUUGGUCAUUGGCUGCCCAUCAACCCUUCCUUUGAGGAACAGAGCUUUAAGAUGCUGCCUCUCGUCAUCGGCAGGUUUCUCAAAGAUAGCCGUCAUCGGAUCCAGAGCCAACUGAGCUAUCUGAUCAGAAAAUUCCAACUCAUCAUCACUGGCUGGUGCAAGAAACUCCAUCGGCAACAUGAAGACCAUGUUGACGCCUGCCGAUGGACCUUCCCUCUUAGUGUCUGACGGCUGCCGACUUCCAGAGUUCUCUCCCUUGUUUAGCUCUUCUUGCCUUUCACGUUGCAAUCUCCUUUUCUGUGUCUUGGUUAAUCCUCCAGGGCACCAUGGAGGAAGUGGCCUUUGCCUUGCCGUCGGGCGUCGGUUCUCCCUUGACUCCAUACGAUGCGUGUUAGCAUCCCUGCAAAAUAUGAAUUCAUCGGGAACCCGCGCAUCAGCCAUUUCCUCGAGCUCUUCUUGGUUCCUGGGAAAAUACUGGACACGGUCACUAAGUCUGUCGUGCCCACUAAAUCUGCCCCCCAGCCAGUCAUGAACUGACACCCUUCCUCUGAUCGGCCCAUUAAAUCGCCGUUCAUCAUCAUGAUAAUGCCGAUCGAUCCCAUCGUACCGAUCAUAACCGUUGCACUCAGGGCAGUCUCUGACAGUAGGAAGCUUGAUAUUUUCCUCCCAACAAUGGAUGAAGAAUGGACAAUUCCAAUGAUCCCUGUGCCGAUUCCACUCCUGUCGGCGUCUUUCUUCUUCCCGUCGAUAAUCUUCCUGCUGGCGCCGAUACCGAUCUUCCCGUUGUUGCCAUUUUUCUCGAGGCCUUCUAUGAGUUAUGACGAUACCAGAUCGAGGAGGCCUUCCUGAGCUAGUUCCUUCCUGGACCAAGCCCUUACUUCUUGCAUCGGCAGUAGUAACUUGAUGCUGAGGAUCUACCGAUGCACUCUUCUCAGCUGUCUACGAUGUUAAGACCUUAGCCUUCCCCUUAGCAUCCAACAUGUUUGUCGGGAAAGGAUGUUGGUCUAUCUUCAUCGGCUUCUGGGCUUUGGAACUGUCAAACUUGAUUCUCCCUGACUCUAUAGCCGAUUGCAGCUGCUGUCUGAAUACUUUGCACUCGUUGGUGUCAUGGGAAGUUGCAUUAUGCCACUUGCAAUAUCUCAUCCUCUUCAACUCUUCUGCCGAUGGGAUCACAUGGUUAGGCGACAGUUUGAUCUGACCUUCCUGAAGUAGAAAGUCAAAUAUCCUAUCAGCCUUAGCGGUGUCAAAAGCAAACUUCUCUGGUUCCUUCUGCCCAAAAGGACAAGACAUCGGCUUCUUGUUUUUUACCCACUCUGCCAAGCCGAUUACUAGUUCUUCAUCAGAAUCUGAGCUUGUUGCUUCAUCGACAAAUGACACUUUCCUAUUCCAUGCUCUUUUAGGCUCGAAAGGCUUGAUGUCUUGAUCAGAAAUCCUCUGCACCAAAUGACUUAAACUUUCGAACUCCUGAGAGGCAUACUUAUCCCUGAUAUGUGGCAACAAACCCUGGAAAGCCAAAUUGGCUAGCUGCCGAUCAUCCAGAACCAAGCUAUAGCAUUUAUUCUUGACCUCUCGUAUCCUCUGCACAAAACCCUCAACCGACUCAUCAUUACGUUGCCUCAACUUGACCAAGUUGGUGAUCUUCUUCUCAUGAACCCCCGAGAAGAAGUAUUUGUGGAAUUGCUUCUCUAGAUCGGCCCAAGUAAUUACUGAGUUGGGAGGUAAUGAUAUGAACCAAGUAAAGGCCGAUCCAGACAAUGAUGAUGAAAAUAGACGAACCCUCAAUUCGUCCCUGUUACCAGCCUCUCCACAUUGAAUGAUGAACCUGUUGACAUGCUCCAUGGUUUACGUGUCGUCCUGCCCGGAAAACUUUGUAAAAUCCGAUACCUUGUACCGAUGUGGAAGCGGGAUCAAAUCAUACGCGGGAGGAUACGGUGUCCGAUAAGAAUAAGUGUUGACUUUGGGUUUUAUCCCAAAUUGUUCCCUCAUUACUUCAGCAAUCUUAUCGGCCCAAUAUGCAUCGGCAUCUUGCCGAUGAGGCGGCUGCGGAUCUGGCACUUGGUGGCGAACCUCCACGUGUCUGUUCGGGACGUGAUCUGCACGGAACAUUGUAUUGAUCACCUGUCCUCCAAUCUGCGGACCACCAAACUGUUGUCCACCGAUUGGCUGUCCUCCGAGCUGUUGUCCAAAAUUCAUUGGCUGGUUGGGAAUCUCCUGACCUUGGAACCCGGGAUAGACCUGCCCUUGCUGGAACCCUGUAGUCUGGUAACUUUGCUGGGGCGAUUGUGGAAAGGCUUGCUGUCCAAGCCAUCCAUUAUUAGCGUUCAUCGGCAUAGGUGCUGCCGAUGAUUGGUAAUUGGGUACCGUCGUUGAAUUGACAUACCCCGACUGGGCCAAAGACCUCUGUUGCAUCAGCAUUGACUCUGCCGAUGCGUUGGGCAUCUGGAACAUUGAAUCUUGAGGAUUUCCAGUGUGAGGCCUUGCAGUAGUAGUUGUGGUAUACCGAGGACUCUGGUUCACCGGCGCAUUGGGAGGUGCCGAUGUCAUAGGAGUUUUGCCCCUCAUGUCAGUUAUUUGUGAUGUUCCCGGUGUCAACUCUGGAGGCAUACCGUAACCCCACCAGUUGGGAGGAAGAGUCAACCCUGACAUUGCCGAUGCCAACAUAUCUGUUGUCAGUUUAUGCUGCCCAACUGAAAUUUGUGGGUUGGUUGUCAUCGGCAUAGAUAGUGCACCAGUAGUCCCCGAUGUACUUGGAGGGACGGCAGAUUGUGCACUUGCAGUCGUCAAGGCAGCCGAUGGAGCCGUGACCUCUGGUGCCGUUGUCUGAUGAUGGGAGGGGCCCACAUAAUCUGGUGGGAUUUGUCCUUCCUUGAAAGUUCUUGCCACGGCAUUGAAAACCGUAUUAGACAGUACACCAGCUUGGUUAAUCAACGCUCGAUUGAUGGCAUUGUCAACCAUAUCUUGAAGCUUGCCAGGAUUGGCGUCAAAGGUAACCUGCCGUGGUGCCGGCAGUGCAUCUUUCUGGACCACUUCGCUGCUCCUGUUUAUGCUGAAAGACCUCAGGCAUUGCUGCUUGAACUCUUCCAUGGCUUGGGCAAUAGCUUGCUUCUGCUCAUCCUUGAGGUUGGCCUCCGUCACGGGGAUGACGUUCUCUUGAUCGAGGUCAGAGAUCGACAUGUUGAUCUUGAUCUUGAAUCCUGUCCCACUGGGCGUGCCAAAAGAUGUGUUGAUGCAAAACUGAUCUGCAAACACAAAGGGCUAAUACCCGAUUCAAACGUUAAGGCGUGCCAGCCGAUUUGACCUUGCUAUCGGCAAAGGUGAUAACUCGAAUACUUUAGUCCUGACAACAGCGAUGCGCCCGGAUGUCACGGCUAAGAGGUACUCACGCGGAACUUGAGAACACGCCGAGCUUAAGUCGACGAAUUCCUAAGAACUCGUAACAAAAGGAAAAAGUAUGACGAAGUCGUCGAAAAGUAAAUGCUGGAAUAUGAGUAAAAACGUGUGUUUGAUUCAUUGAUUGAUUUUUUAUUACAAGGCCCUAGGAUCUAUAUUUAUACCCUGCUCAAAGAGCUACAACCAGACACGAUUAGAAUUCGAAUUCCAAAUUACACGGAAUCCGUAUACAAAACGAUGCAAAUAAUUAAGGAAAUAACAAAACUAUCCCUCGUGACAAACCGAAACUCCUCCACAUAACGACCGGCAGCUUCCGGACUCCCUCUUUGCAUCAUCGGCAGACCCUUUGCCAUAGUCAUCGGCAGACUUUCUUAUCUAGCCAUCGGUACCAUAUUACUGCCUGUGGACUUAGUCACGUUCAACUUCUCCCUCAUCGGCAACCAUCCUCAUCGGCAACCCACUUUGUAAACAUCGUACUGCCACCUUAUCCUGCCAUCCUAGACACGUGCCCAAAAACGGUGUCAACAGAUUGGAUCGAUAGUAGGAGUGUGAAUGAAAUCCUUGUUCUUCAAUUGCUGAUAGACUUCCUUCUCUCUUCGGGUCUUCAGUCCAAGGUCUGCUAUCUUGAGAAGGACCUUGACUUGCUGACCUGAUGAAGAUGAUGGAGCUUGUGUGGGUGUCGGGUCGACGCUCAUCUCUGAUGGCUGUGAGGAGUGUCGGGUUGAACUCCUUGUACCAAUGUUCUUAAGAGCCUUCCCUGCAUUCUUCACCUUCUUAAACAUCCUGCAAACAAAAGUUGGCAAAAACACAACUGGUGGAAAAUGUGCGAUAAAAUGUUAGUGGUCAGCUGUCCGGAGUGUUAGUAGUCCAGGGGUUAAUCUUUCAAGUCAAGUUUUUAUUUUGGUAGACCCUUCCCCUAAACAACUUUUACUUCCGCUUGGACAGCGGGAUCACUAUUUGCUAGGUGACAAUCACUUUCUCAAAAGAACUCCAACCUUCCCUUCCACUCUCCUCUUUCUCUCUACUCUCUUCUCUUCACUACAAAAGCUCCUUCUCGGGAAACUGAGAUUUGUGUUGUUUUCUGAAGUGUGUGUGUGAAGAGAAGGGGAGCUGGAGGUGGCCUUUUAUAAGCUGAGCAGGGGACAGGGCGGGCGCCCUUGGUAGGUGGGCGGGCGCCCACUUGUGAUGCCCAUCCUGGGUGUGCCUCCUCCACUUGCUUCCUUGCUUUGAUCUCACGCAGAAUAAUGUUGUGUUGGUAGUGGUUGGACGGUGGAAAGAUGUCAGGUGAGUGGAAACAUAUUGGUGGAUGAAAUUAUAUGAUGGGAUGUAUGUGAGAUGAAGUGUAUGACAUGUGGGACCCAAAGAGUGUGGGUCAUGCUUCUAGAAGAUUUAUAUGAUUAAAUAUAAUGUAGGAAAAUCUAUGAGAAUCGAAACUUAUUGAAAAUGAUAUUGGAAAAUAUUUUUGUGCCCCCACAAUAAUUAAUAAAUAUGGGUUGUUACACACCACGAAUAUUAUUUAUCUGGGGCUUUUUUGAUUAUUAUAAUAAUGCUAUGAAUAAAUGUGACUAAUGCAAGAUUUAAUUAUGCAAGAAAUUAAAAAAAUAAUAAUGCGGAUAAAUACCGAUUUACCUCCCGGUGAGGGUUUGGGAUUUUUAGGUCCCCCAAGCUGGACCUCCAAUUCUUUUAAUCUUUUGAGUUUCCUUCCUCCGGAGAUGGUGUCUCCAGUGGUUCUUCGUGAACUUCCUUCACUGUAGAGUCUCUCUCUAAUCUGGGUUUGAAUGUGAAGUGUUCUUCUUGACCGUUUAUGUUGAACUUGAUUUUUCCCUUCCCGACAUCAAUGUGGGCAUUGGCAGUGCUCAGAAAUGGCCUUCCAAGGAUGAUGGAUACUUUCGAGUCAGGACUCAUGUCCAGUACUACGAAGUCUACUGGCACAAGGAAAUCUCUGAUCUUGACUGGAAUGUUCUCGGCGAUGCCCAACGGGUGUCGAACCGAUUGAUCCGCUAGUUGUAGGCACAUUGAUGUUGGUUCUAAGGUUGCAUGCUCAAGCUUUUUGUAGACUGAUGCUGGCAUCACACUGACACUUGCUCCGAGAUCACAAAGUGCAUUGUUGAAGUGUUGGUUUCCGAUCGAGCAAUCAUCCGACUGCAGUCCUCUGUUUCUUUUGGGAAAUGGCAAAUAGUUGGUGUCGUAAAAAUCUUUCCUCAUUUCUCUAGUUCUUGGUGGUUGUGGCAGAUCUUCUGCUUCAACUGGGCUUUCUUCUUCUAUCACUGCUGGUUGCACUGGUGCUGAUGUUCUUUGUUUCUCUUUUGGGUAUGGUGGAUCUCUAGUAGCUUUACCUCCUCUAGUAGUUAUAUUCUUUACCUGCUCAAUGUUAGUAGCAACAGGUAGUGCAGCAGCUAACUUUAUUAAUUUAAGCUCUACCCUUUUAUUAAGAGUGUUUUGCUAAUCAAAGGCAGUUAGUAGAAAAUCCAUUUUAUUGUGUAUAUCUUUUAGAGAUGAUUCAUUUGUAUCUAGCCUUUGUUUAACUUCAUCAUUAAUUUUGGUUUGUUGAGCAAUUAUCUCUUUUAAUGAAAGUUGCUUGAAAGUAUUACCUGAAUUCAUACCUUUGCUAUUGGGUUUACUCGAAGUUGGUUGAUAUUUGUAUGCUGUCUCAAUGGCCCUUUGAUCUUCUUUGAACUUGGCCCUCUGGUCAAUCCAAUGGAGCAAAUUUUCCAUCUUACUCGAUAACGCAUUUACUUCUUCUGGUAUUUCUUCAGUUUGAUGACAUUGUUGAGCUUUAUCUUGGAACCAGCUUUGGUUUUCUACUAUCUUAUCCAAAAGUAUCUCUGCUUUUCCAGUUGUAAGCUCCAAGAAUGAUCCUUUAGCAGAUGCAUCUAGGCACUCACGAGCCUUCUGGGUUAAUCCAUGGUAGAAGGUCUGCAUAAGUAACCAUGUGGCCAUUCCAUGGUGAGGACAAUCUGAUAUGUAUCCUUGAAAACGCUCCCAUGCUUCGGAAAUGGCUUCUGUCUUCUGCUGUUGGAAACUGACAAUAUUUCCUCUUAAGGCAGUUGUUUUGCCUAUAGGGAAAAACUUUGAUAGAAAGGCAUCUGACAAGUUCGUCCAGUUGUUGAUGUUAUCUUGAUGAGUGUAGAACCACUUCCUCGCUUUCCCUUCUAGUGAGAAUGGAAAAAGGCGAAGUAGUAUGACGUCUUUGUCAACUUCGUUGAUGUGGAUUGUGCUUCCAAUCUCUAAGAAAUUCUGCAAGUGUGCACUGGCAUCUUCAUGUGCCUUUCCACUGAAUUGUGUAGCUUGCACCAAAUUGAUGAGGCUUGACUUGAGCUCAAACUCAGGUAUUCCUUCUUCUACUGCAAAUCUUGGACCAGUUGGAAUGUUCUCAAGGCUUGGAGCAGAGAAUUCUUGCAAGGUCUUUUGUGCCAUAGCUUCAGCAAUUGGUAGCUAGCUUCUUCUUCUCUUGAUUGCUUUGGUUCUGAUGAUGGAGAGUUGAAUGUACCCAAAGUCAAUCCUGUUAUACCCUGUAUAAAAAUAUAAACAUAGAAAAACAACAGGGUGAACCUGCCAAAGCAGCGGUGCCUUGUUAUGAUUUCUCACUUAGUAGCUGUUUUAUGCAAUUAUUUCUCUAUAGUCUAGUCUAAUAUUUUAUAUGAAUAACCUUGAUUGAUUUUCUAGCUUUCCUUAAUAUUAUCCUUUUGUUCCCUUUUAUGACUUAUUCCUGAGACUCGUAUAAUUCCUAUAAGAUCCUAUAAAUUCCUAUAAUUCCCCGGCAACAGCGCCAGAAAUGCUUGUUGACACUAGCUAACACCACUUAGAUACUAGGUUGUCAUCCCUAGCAUGGCGCCAGAGUGUACAAAGGUAUUUAUAAAUGUAAAGGCUCUCUGGAAAAUAAUCUAUUCUAUGCGCAAGCGCAUAGAUAAAACACCUCAUUGUAGCAUUUCACUAGGAUAAGUAUUCCAGGUAUCGUUAUUUAUAAUUUUGCUCAAGGGAUCUAAAGAAGAUGGAAUUAAAUCAAGGGACAAAAUCUAUCAAGGCAUAGACUAGAGAUAAACUUGCAAGAACAUGAUUACUAAUGAGAAACUCGUCACACAGUCACUUACUGUAGCAGGGGGUAAACCAUAAAGAUAAUGAUAAUAAAGUAUAAGUUCAUGGGUAGAUAGCACAGCGAUUAGAAAAUAGACUACUCCUCAUAUAUGUAGGUGAUGUCGGAUUAGCUAGAGAAUGGAUUCUAAGUUAUCUACUAACUACUAAGUCAUAAUCUACUCUAGUUAUCUACAAGAUCAUACAUAGCAUAAAAGACUCUUCAUUCAUGUAUAAGGAACAUUGAUAAAGUAAAUCAGAGCAUCGCAUGACUUACUCCACAAUACCGGUUCUGCCUGUCCUAUCAACGGAGGGUGGACUAUAUAAGAAUCAACGAAGCUGUCACUAUCGCGAACUACCACACGACCCGGCCAAUAGGAUACAUUUGCCGAUAAAUAACAUCUAAGCACCACGCUCACAUGUGAUCUAUCACCUAACUCCCUCGCGUCAAGAGCUAAGCGCUUUGCAAACUUAUACAUAAACUCAUUAUCAAUUAGAACUAUAUCAAAUAUAGAACUAGAGCAAACUAAGAACAUAAUAAUUAGAGACAUAAUGCAAUUAGAACAAUAGAAUUAGAGAAAGAUAUGAAUAAUACCAAUCUUUAUUACCGAAGAUCCGAAUCCAGAGCGUAGGUGCUCUACUUCUCUAAUUGCUAUCUAAUCAAACCUCUAAACUUGAAGGAUUAGGGAGUAGCUAAUUCUAAUUCUCUGUGGGAGAGAAGCUCUAAACCCUAACUUUGAUGGCUACCUCUGAAUAAUGAUUUCUCCUCUCUCCUCCAGGGGCCAGGGGGUCUCGUUUUAUAGUCCCCUCAAGUAAACGUGAGCCAUUGGAUCAAACCGACAUAGAUUGUAUGGUUUAGAUUGAUCCUUUAGGUCGGUGGAGAGUUGUCCCGAAGCAGAGUCCUGGUUGGCUUCCUGGCCAGGGCGGGCGCCCAAGGGGGGUGGGCGGCCGCCCAGCUCCCGAGCCCGAAUCGCGUCCCGUUCGUUCCCUUGGCUUCUGGAUCCUUCUAGAUUGAGGAAAAUUGUGCGGUACGUAAUUAUCUCGUUGUAAACAUGACAUGUGGGCCUUCUCUCUCUAUUUUCUGAUAAACCCCUGCAGAAAUAGAUAAACACCAAAACUCGUGGAAUUCUGUCAGAUAAAACCCUAAUUCUAGAUGUUUGUUUUAUAUUGAUCCUUUUUCAUGUUUAUUUGAUUAUUAAUUUUAGUACUUAAGGACCGUCAACAAUAGCAUAAUCAUCAAGUAUCAUAAUUAUGGAUAAUCAUCAGAGCAUCUACUAGUCAUAAUCAAAGUUAGCCAUUGGAUAAACUAGGGAGUUAGAUCUAAGGUAAUUCUAUAACUACAUCAAUGAGUAAAUUUAAUUAGUGCAAUUACAUCUAGAAAUCAUUGUUAAGUUAACCCUACAUCAUAAUCACAUAUAAAGAGGCAUCAACUAAUGAGGGUAUUAAGACACUAGGGUCACCUCCUUUGCGACUGUGCCCAUGCUAGUCCUACGUACGGAGAGUGGACUAUAGAGGAACCAACGCAGCUAUCACCUGCGCGGACUACGACACGUCCCGACAUGUCACGGUGCACUCGUAGAUAAACAAUAUAUCUAGACACCAUGUCUACAUAUUGUCUACCAUCUACCCAACGAUCGAUUAGGUAAACAUUAUAUGAGCAAUUACAUUAAUUCAAUAAGAUCAAACAAACUAUCCUAGACAUAUAAUCAAACUAGACAAAAACGAUUGCAAUUAAGAAUAUAUGAAUCUAUUAAGAGUAAAGUCUCCCUAAUAUAUAUAAUGAAUACAAUAAAGUAAGAACUAGAUCUAUUACCGAACUCUUGUGCUCCAAACCGACGCUAGGGCUCCAGAUCCUGAUGAAGAACUAGAUCUCCUCUACUUCUAAUCUAGCUAACUAGAACUAUGAACUAGAAGGCUCUUGAUAAACUAGAAGGCUCUUGAUGCUUGAUGGCUUGAGGCCUUGAUGAAUAAUGAAUUGCCUCCUCCUAGGAGGGUCUACCCAUGUAUUUAUAGUCCAAUGGGAUGCACGUGCGCCACAGGAUCAAACCGACGUAACCAAGAGCUGAGAUGCAUCAAGAGACGUGGUGGAGGAACAUUCCAGAAGGGGGGCCGCAACCCUAAGCCUAGGGCGUCGCCCAGCCCCACGUGGCGGCGCCCUGGCCCUAUAUUGCUUCGAGUGUCUUCUAGAUGGUUCCUGAGUUUUCCCGUGAUGUUUCUCAGAGAGGAUAAGUUUCGUGUUUAUCUUGCACUUGAAUCUCUCUUUUCAGCUUUUCUGAAAUAAACCCUGGAAAAUACAGAAUAUGCAAAACUCAUGGAAAUCGUUAGUUAAAACCCUAGACUAGUGUGUUUUCAUGUUUUCUUUUGGGUUUAAUUUUCUAAUAAAUUUGACGUUAACCACCAUCAACAAUUUCCCCAAGCUUACCUUUUGCCAGCCCCUUGGCAAACAAACUAAGCCUAAUUGUUAUUGUAUUUGGAUUAGGAGUUUUUACAAUAUUAUUAUACUUUCAAGUACACAUGCUCUCAAACAAGAAUUUCCUCCGGAUCAAACGAUGUAUGCUCUAACCUUCAAACUUACUCAUUUCACCUGUAAUAUGCGGCUUCACAGCUUUUGCUUAAGUGUUGAGCAGUCGAAAGAUAGAACAAUCAAGCUAAGUACUAUGUCUCAAAUUCUUUGCUAUACCACUAUUCUAGAGUUUUUCAUAAGGUUUCAAAAUAAAACUCACAGCUUAAUUGUAUGACACCCUCAAGUCUCUCAAUGUAUAACAUUAAUGAGGACCGUCAACAAACUCCCCCAAGCUUACCUCUUGCUCGUCCCUGAGCAAGGAUAGACUCAGCAAUGGAUCAGAAGUUGUUGCAAUAUCUUAAAAAUUUGACGGUACACAUGCUUUUAAAUAAGACCUCAUCUCUGAGUUAGAGUAAACUGUCAAGAACUAAAACUUACUUACUUUACCUUUCACCAUGGGACUUGUAAACGUCACUUCUGUCUUGAGUAGUUAAAAGAUAAAAGAGUCUAGCCAAGUGCCAUGUCUCUUAUUCUUGAUCAGCUAUAGCUCUGGAGUUUUUGCAGAUUUUCAAAUAAAACUCAGAGAUUCCUUGUAUGACUCUCUAAAUCUCUCUUUUGUGGUAUUUCUGGAUCCUUACCAAGGCAGUGAUGGUAUAUGCCUUCUCUCAAGAUAUGUGGUAUUUGUGGUAUAAGGCAUAGUGACAUUGCCUUCUCUCUCACCCUAUUUUAAUAAGGCUUUAAUAUCUGGAGCUCAUAGGUGGGAGACAGCUAAUACAUACUUAGAAGACAUUUAUUGCAUAGUCAAACCAUGGAUCUAGAGAAACAAGUCAAUAAGUCAAAUCAAGAUGUGCAUGUGUGGCGAAUGAAUGGUGUAUGGUGAUGAUGGUGAUAACAAUGGUGGAAGUCUAAUUCUACUUUUGCUCUUUUGAGGGGAUACAUACCUUCCUUGCUUUUUGAAACUUUAUGAGGAGAAUGAGAUGCUCUAUCUUUCAUUUUAUUCUUUCCUCUCAGGUGGGUAUCCUGUACCCCUAAUUCUACUGUCGGACACUUGUCCAUUUUUACCUCUCGUCUCACUCUUUUUCUUUUCUUUCGAGGUUCCGGGCACUUGCCCCUUUUUAUUUCCUCAUAUAUUUUUUUUUCUUUUUUUUAGAGCACUCAUCUCAUGAGACAAUAUAGCAAGUGGUAGUAGCAAGAUAACUUGAGCAUAUAUUUCACAAGGGAAAACAGAAAUAUUUUUGGUUAUUCUCUCCCGGAUUAGGAGUAGAAUAUUUUUGGGUGGUUCUGGAGAUGGAAAUGAGUGGAUAUAUGUGGAUGGUACUUCCGGAGUAGAAGUAGCAUAUAUGAGUGAAUGUGCAAGUGAAACCUUGAUUUAAUCACAUGACAAGCUCCUAAGGGUCUACACAGCUUGACCACACUCAAUGCUCAUAAGCAGUAAAUAGUAAAUGUGUGGCUCAAAGUCUAGCAAGCAUGUAUAUAUGGCUGUGGUAGGAAUUUAAACUUUCAUCAUAUAGGAACUCAUCAUGCAAUAUUUUAAAGAUUUUUCAAAGAUAAAAUCCUCCAGAAUUCUAGCAUCUCUAGGAACAGAUAAACAGCAGCUCAACCUUCCCAUAUCAUAUCUGUUAACAACUUAGAUUUCAGGUCAAGUUUUCAUUCCACAAGUUUAGAUCUAGAGCAAGCUUUAAAUUAUAACAGUUAUGUCUAAACUUGAGAGAGAACUUCAAAUUUGCAAAUUAGGCAGAGCAACUAUUCAUCAUAUCCAUGCUAGAGUUUUAUUAUUAAGAUUCAGAUUAGCAUAGCCACUUUAUUCAUUUAUUAAACACACUAAGCAAAAGAUAUAUAUAUAAGCACAAAAUCUUUAUUUGGUUCAUAGUUUAUGUAUUUUAAUAUUCUAAUAUAAUAUAAGUAUAA
RNAcentral lists this long non-coding RNA (82388 nucleotides) under Sorghum bicolor (sorghum). Its description in RNAcentral is "long non-coding RNA (SBIC_LNC016316)". The stretch from base 24409 to 24515 matches the Rfam family "Plant small nucleolar RNA R71". Lineage: Eukaryota; Viridiplantae; Streptophyta; Magnoliopsida; Poales; Poaceae. The record is from RNAcentral.